Molecule: long non-coding RNA, 72144 nt
Filed under: Ananas comosus (pineapple)
Lineage: Eukaryota; Viridiplantae; Streptophyta; Magnoliopsida; Poales; Bromeliaceae
Description: long non-coding RNA (ACOM_LNC024671)
Source: RNAcentral
AUAAUAUGCUCUCUCUCUCUCUCUCUCUCUCUCUCUCUCUCUCUAUAUAUAUAUAUAUAUAGUUCGGCUAUGGUACUUUUAAAAACACCAAGUACUUGGCGUUUAUAAGUUAUUUACCAUUAGAUCUAUUCCUUUAACCAAUUCCACCUCUUAGAUCAUAUUAUUCCACCAACCACCCACUCAACCCUUGGUGAUCACUAUCAUCCUAACCGCACAUCUCUUAAUCUAAUGACCGAAAACCCACCGGCACCAAUGACUUGGUGUUUUUAAAAAUAUAUAAACUCAAUUAUAUAUAUAUAUAUAUAUAUAUAUAUAUAUAUAUAUAUAUAUAUAUAUUAACUCGAGGAUAUAAAAAUUUUCAUAGUCUAAUAACCACGAACUUUUAACUACCCUACACACCAAUCCUACUAUCUGUAGGUGUGAAUCUUACUAUCACUCUGGGGAUUCCAACUCACCCAUCAACCAACUUAUCAUACUAAAUUGCCUAACAUUACUAGUUUUACCAUCUAGAUUGCCAUUUUUUAAAUGUUCGUGGUUCACAAACUACGAAAAUGUUCGUAGUAUCGGUUUGACAUAUNUCAAAUCACGUGAAAUUUUGAUAAAAAAUUUCAAUGUCAUAUUAUCACGUUUUGUAAGAUUUUUAUUUUUAGCCGUUGAUUUUGAGCCCCUUCGUUCACUAGGCAAAUAAUAUCGAAAAAUCACAUAAUUUAUUUUCUAGGUACUUCAAAUACUCUAGAUCAAGUUAAACGAAGCCAAUCGACGAUUCGAAAGUCGCAACAUCGAAAACAACCUGGAAGAUCUGUGCUUCCAGAAGCAUAGUAGCCUCACUAUAUAUAUAUAUAUAUAGAGAGAGAGAGAGAGAGCGAGAGAGAGAGAGAGUCCGGCUAUGGUGCUUGUAAAAGCACUAAGCACUUGGUGCUUGUAAAUCUUUUACCAUUAGAUUUACACUUUUGAUCAGUUUUACCCGUUAGAUUAUACUAUUCAUCCAACCACCCACUCAACCCUAGGAGAUCCACAUCAUCCUAACCGCACAUCCCUUAAUCAAAGGGCCGAAAACUUACAAGUACCAAUGAAUUGCAAAUAUAUCCCUCUAAAUAUAGUGAGUUAAUUUCAUACAUGUCCCUCUAAAUAUAGUAAAUUGCAAAUAUAUCCCUACAAACUUCAACUUUCAUAUAUUGUUCUUACAAAAGUCCUAAUAUUUUCAAAUAUGCCCUUUUGGUUUGUUACCAUUAAAGUACUGCUUAUUUUAUAAGUGAAAUGACCUUUUGCCAUCACAAACAUGUCCCUUCAAAAGUCCCAAGUGUUAAGUGAAAAGGGCUAAAAAGGUCAAUUCACCUUAUUAACUAAUUAGGAUUAAGUAUUUUACUUAUAAUUAACUAAUUUUUUCUAAUGUAUCCUAACGGCAGGGGCAUAUUUGAAAAUAUCCGAACUUCUGCAAAAACAAAAUAUAAAAGUUAAACUUUGUAGAGAUAUAUUUACAAUUCACUAUGUUUACAAAGAACUGUAUGAAAUUAACCCUUAUUACAUACGUAAAAUACUUAACCCUAAUUAGUUAGUGUAGUGAAUUGACCUUUUUACCCCUCUUCAAUUAACAGUUGGGACUUUUGGAAGGACAUAUUUGUGAUGACAAAAAUGUCAUUUCACUUAUAAAAUAAACAGUACUUUAACGGUAACAAAUUAGAGUGAUAUAUUUGAAAAUAUUAGGAAUUUUGUAAGGGCAAUAUAUGACAAUUGAAUUUUGUAGGGAUAUAUUUAUAAUUCAUUAUAUUUGUAGGGAUCUGUAUGAAAUUAAUCCUAAUUAUAAAAAUCAAUUUACAUAAAAGAAUUAACUGAUUAUUUAUUUUUAAAAAAAUAAAUUAUUUUUUUAUAAUUUGCAAAUUAGAACUGAAAAUUUUUUUAUAGAAUAAUCUGGAUAUUUAGUAAACUGAUUAAAAUAUUCUCUUUUUUUUUCUUUAUUUACUCGCUUGUUCUUUUUUUGCAGUCUUCUUCGUCUCCUUUCUUCUCGCCUUUCCUUCAUCUCAUUUUUUUCUUGCUUUCUCUCUCUUCUCCUCCUCCUCCAUCGUUUACAUGUCGAUGCCGUACUUCUCUCUAUUUCGCCCACACCUCUGCCAGUGCCGGCGGCGAUGACGCAGGUUUGAAUAUGGUACAGAUUGCGGAGGUGAGCCUGUGGCAGGUGGCAUGGCUGUGGACUACGACGGCGACGAAAGUGCCAUAGUAUUUGAGUACGAUGGGAAGGGAAGGCACGUCAAGGCGGCGCGGCAAUUGCAGCAGAGGAAAAAUGAUGGGGAGGGUGGAGGCAAAAGGGAAAAAAGAAAAAUUGUAAAAAAAUGUGUUUUCCUUUUCUGGAAAGGUCACACGUGUCGUGGCCACUGUAAGGAAGGCCAACAAGUAGAGAAGAAAGAAAAAGAAAAAAGGGUUAUUUGCAUACACGUCCCCGCAAACAUAGUGAAUUGCGGAAAUAUCCCUGCAAAACGGAAACUCCAUAAGCUGUCCCUGCAAAAGUCCUAAUUUAUGCAGAUAUGUCCCUCUGAUUAACAUCUGUUAGAGAACUGUUUAUUUUUUAACAGUUUUUAUGUGAAAUGACCAUUUUGCCCUCACAAAUAUAUCCCUCCAAAAGCAUCUUCCCCCUCUCUUUCUCUUCCUCUUCCUCUUCGGGCCGCCGGAGCGGAUAGCGGCGACGGCGCGGGUCGAGCUCGCCGGCGACAAAGAAGAGGGAAGAGAAAGAAUGAGAGGAAGAAAAAAAGGGAAGAGGAAGAAGGAGAGGAAGAGGGAGAGGAAGAGGGAAGAGAAAGAUGAAGAGGGAAAGGGUUCGUCGCCGCGCGCCGCCGCCGCAUCUCCUCCCUCGCCGGCGACGAAGAAGAGGGAAGAGGAAGAGGAAGAGGAAAAGGAAGAGGGAGAGGAAGAAGAAGAGGGAGAGGGAGAGGGUUCGCCGCCGCCGUCGCAUCUUCUCCCUCGCCGGCGAUGAAGAAGAGGGAAGAGGAAGAGGGAGAGGAAGAAGAAGGGAGAAAAGGGAAGAGGGAGAGGAAGAAGGAGGAAAAGAAAGAGAGAGGGUUCGCCGUCGCCGCCGUCGUCGCCGCCGUCGCUGCCGCCGCCGCCCUCGCCGGCGACGAAGAAGAGGGAAGAAGAAGAUGAGGAAGAAGAAGAAGGGUAGGAUCGUAAAUUUAUCUUAUAAUUAACCAUGGUUAAGUACUUUAACCGUGGUUAACGAAAAUUUUCUAACAGUCCUUAACGGCAGGGACAUAUCUGCAUAACUUUAGACUUUUGCAGGGAUAACUUAUGGAGUUUCCGUUUUGCAGGGAUAUUUUCGCAAUUGACUAUAUUUGCAGGGACCUGUAUGCAUUUAACCCAAGAAAAAAUUACACUGUUUCAAACAAAAUUGUACUAUAUGAAACUAAGUUACACUAUUUGAGACUUAAGUUGCACCAUUUAAAAUCAUUUGUGAUUAAGUUGCAACUUUUCAAAUAGUUCAACUUAAUUUCAAAUAAUUUUAAAUGGCAUAAUUUACAUCUCAAACAAUACAACUUAAUUUCAAAUAGUACAAUUUCUAUUUUUAUGAUACAAUUUAGUUACAAAUAAUUUUAAAUUGUGUAAUUUAGUUUCAAACAGUGUAACUUAGUCUCAAACAGUGCAAGUAACUUUUUUUUUCUUCUUUAUUUUUUGACUUUUUUUUGUGGUGGUAUCGAUAUAUGAUUUUCUUCUCUGGAGAAAAAAAAUAUUUUUUUCUUUUUUUUCUUUUUCCCUCUCUUUAACCCUCUGCAUCUUUUUCUGCCACUGCACCGCCUCCUUGGCCCUCUGUCACAACCACUGCCCUCGCCUCAAUGAGCUCUCCCGCCCUGUUGUCCUCAAAUCUUGCGACACUCAUUAUCGUUGCCGUCUAUAGCAACGCUCUCUAUCACAGCCUAAUCUUUAUGAUCUGUGUCAUAUUCGAGCUCUUGUCAUUAUCGCCGACGUCAGCGGAGAUGUGGGUAUAGUAGGAAAGAGGAGCGCAGCAUCGACGUGGGGGCUGUGGAGAAAGAGGAGGAAAAGAAAGCAGGAUGAGAAAGAGAGGAAGGAAUGGCGGGGAUGAGAGAGAUGUACGAAAAAAGUGAAGAAAAACAAAUGAGAAAAAGAAAUGAGAGAGAAAGAUGAAUAAAUAUAUUUUGAUCGAUUCUAAAAAUUUAGAUCUAAUAUAUAAAUUCACAAAAUAGCCUAUAUUUGCCGAAAUGCAAAAUCAGUUGAUUUUUUUAUGCAAGUCAACCGCAUAUAAACCUAAUUAUAUAUGCGUAAGUUAUACAAAUUUUUAUGUAGGUAUAAAUUCCAAUCUAGCCGACUCAAAAUUAAGACUAAUAAGAACUAAGUUGGAAUACUAUCAAUAGCACCAAGUUAUUAGUGUUAUUAGUUUUUUAGCACUUGGAUUGAGAAAUAUGCGGUUAGGAUAAUGUGAGCCCCCUAGGGUUGAGUGGGUGGUUGGUUGAAUAGUAUAAUCUAACAGGUAAAAAUAAUUAAAAGGUUAAAUUUAACGGUAAAAAAUUCGAUAGCACCAAACCUUUGAUACUAUCGAUAGUAUCCCAGCUGAACUCGACUAAUAAUUUAAUAUAAUAAAAAAUGUUUAAAAUCACUUAUAGCAUUUUUCUUACCCAAAAAGCAAACAAUGCCUUUAAUUCACUGUCUCACAACAGCAAACUUGGAUCUGGUCCAACCACACCCACUCAUUAAUUCCAUCAAACCCGGAGCUCACUGAGUUUGCUGUUUAUUACCCUGCACUGCUAAAAUCCAACCUAACCCAACCAAACCACAAUGCUUAAAAAAGACCAAAAAUGAAAAAAUAAUCCUCUCUCUCUCUCUCUCUCUCAUUGGUGUCUCCUUCUCGAAAAAAAAAAAUCUAGAAUGCACCAGGUAUAUUGCUGAUGCUUGCGCACCCAAUCAAUAAAAUUAUCUUUCUUGAGUUGAUAUGUCACAUCGUAGUUAAUAGAAAAAUAUUUUUAUUAUACUUUUCUUUCAAAUAAAAAAAUAUGAUUAACUUAUUACUAAUGAUAUGGUGCAAGUAUGAUACAGUAAAUUUUCUCCUCCUUCUCACCCUUGGCUUCUUUUUAAAGAAUGGCUAUAUAAGUAGUCUAAGAACCUUUACCAACAUUUUAUCCCUAACCUUCUCUCUCUACAUACCCACCAUUUGUCCUCUCUCUCUCUCUCUCUCUCUCUCUCUCUCUCUAUUAAGGAGCAACAACAUUCUCUUUGGAGAAGAAGCUAUACCAAAGCUUGUUGAGGUUCUACAUAGUUUAAAGCCCAUUUUGAGGUAAGUUUUCGCUAGCUCUAUAUAUAUAUUGAGAUCUCUUGGGUGUUUUUUUUUGUUUUUUUAACUUGAGAUCUUUUGGUUUCUUUUUUUUUGAUUUAGUAUUCUCUAUAUAGGAAAAAAAUGGUGCUUUAAUUCUCCCUCUACAUUUCCUUUCAUUGAUCAUGUAGCAAGUGAAAUCUCAGUAUAAUAGUAAGCAAAACAAUAUAUUACAUCGCAGGUUGGUAGCUACUAUUAUAUAUUAUAUAUUAAUAUAUAUAUAUAUAUAUAUAUAUAAAUUAAUUAAAUGGAAAAUUAAACACACAUGGUUUUAAUUAUUGAAAAGUUUAUGUGGGUAGGUGUGUAUAAUUUUGUUAUUGAAAUGUUUUGAUUGUGCCAUAAAUGUUUAGGCCCCGUUUGGUUGAGGGAAUAGCGGGGAUAAUGAAAGUUAUCCCGCGAUUCCGCAAACGGGGUGAAAUUUGGCCAGGAUUUUUAUCCCGGUCAAACCUUGCUAUUCCGGUUUUCGGAAUAAAAGAAUUUGCUAUUCCACCAUUUUGAUGGAAUAGCACUAUUCCAAUACUUAAUUUCAAACUUAAUUAAAAUUAUAAAUUGAAUUAAAACUAAAUUAUAUAAUAUAUAUGCUUAUAUAUUAUAAUACAAUAUUUAUUAUAAAUUAUUAAUUGUAAUAUAUUAAUAUAUAUUAUUUAUAUUUAAAUAUUUAUAAUAAAUUUAUAAUAAAUUAUAUUUAAAUUUAUAAUAAUUCUUUUUAUUAAAUUAAGUUUAAGUAGAAUUUUAAAAAAAUUUUAUAAAUUUAUUAUAAUAAAUAGUUUUUAUUAAUUGUUCCACCCCAAUUCUUAUUUUAAAAUUUUAAAAAUUUUAAUUUUAAUUUUUUAAAAUUUUAUAAUUAUAAUACAUUAUCUUUAUUAUAAAAUUAUUAAUUGUACUAUAUUAAUAAUUAUUAUUUAUAUUUAAAUAUUAUAAUAAAAUUUAUAGUAUAUUUUAUUUAAAUAUUAUAAUAAUUUUUUAUUAAAUUUAAGUUUAAGUAGAAUUUUUAAAAAAUUUAUAAAUUAUUAUAAUAAAUUAUUUUUAUUAAUUGUUCCCAUCUAUUCUUAUUUUAAAAUUUUAAAAAUUAAAAUUUAAUUGUUAAAUUUAUAAUAUAUAAUCUCAAAAUUAAAGUUUAUAAUUUUAAUUUUUUAAAUUUUAAAAUUAAAUUUCGAUAUAUUUACUUUUGAAAUUUAAAAUUUGAUAUUUUAUAUUUUUCAAAUUUAAAUUUGAUCUUAAAUUUAAAGUUUGAAAUUUAAAAUUUAAAAUUUUGAAUUUAAAAUUUGAGAUUUUAAAUUUCAAAUUUUGAAAUUUCAAAGUUAAAAUUUUAAAUUUAAAAAUAUAUAUUUAAAAAUUUAAAAAUUUAAAUUCAAAUAUAAUAAGAGGAUAAUAUGAUUAUUUUUUAUUUAUAAAAUCCACUAUCUUUCUUAAUCCAUCUUACCUAACCAAACGCUAUUUUUUUUAUUCCCAGGAAUAACCCAAUUUUCAUCCAAACGCAAAAUUGAUCUAAUCCCCGCUUAUACCUCAAUUUAUACCUAUCCCUGGAAUAGUCACUUUUUUCUUAUCCUCGAACCAAACGAUACCUUAGAGUUUGGAGUUUGGUUGGAAAAUAAAGCGGGAACCAUAAAAAAAAUAUGUUUAAUAAUAAUUUUAUUAUUUUAAAUAUAGUAAAUUUUAUGGGCUAUCACUUAUGGUAAAAUUAUUUUUAUCCCCUUAUUUAAUUAAUAAACACCAAAACUGUAACUCAUUCGUGAAUUAAAUAAAACAACUACUACGUGAAUUAAAUAAAAGUUUGAAAUGCGGGAUGUUUUGGGUACACUUUGGAGUACGCGUAGCUCAUUCGUCUUUUUAUGUAGAGUUAUUAACAGCCCGAGGCGCGUGUGCCGCUCCUUAGCAUUCCGAUGGAAUUUUUGUGCUUACCCAACAAAACCCUUAUGUUAAAGUGACAAAAAUGCCCCUAUAGGUUUGAAAUUUGCCAGGGGUAAUUUUGACUUUUAACUACGCUCCUCGUACUUUGGUCCAUGUGUUACAGGGGCAACGAGAAAGAACUUAGUGGAAUAAAUCAAUUGUUGAAAAGUGAUAGCAAUGUUUUAAAUAGUUAUUUUACAUAUAUAAAAAAUAAAAAUAUAUAUAAAAUUUAUCUAAAUUAUAGAUCAUUUUAAGUUGACUAUUCAGUUUUUAAAAUUUUGAUAUUAUCAUCUAAUAUUUUAAUUUAUUUUAUUAGGAUCAAUUAAUGACUGUUUGACUUUAAAAUAUAAAUGCGUCGUUUAUCUUUACAGGUUUUGUUCGAAUAUUUCAUAUAAUUUUCACAAUUAUAAAUUUAUUAAAGUAAAUAAUUAAUUUAAAUUUAGAGAUUAAAGUAUUGUUGACUGAUUCGAAUCAAAGAAAUUAAAAUAUAUAGUAGUAAAAUCAAGUUUUUGAAAAGUUGGAUAGUCGACUCAAAAUAAUUCAUAGUUCAGAAAAUUUCAUAUGUUUUUACCUCAAAAAAAAAAUACUCUUGCCAAUGUUAUAUAGCUAUCUAAAUUUUGAAAUCUCUUUUAAAAAAUUAUAAACUUUAAAUUUCCUUUUUGCGGUUUAGCACAUUAUUUACGUUGCGACACUGUCGUUUACAAGCUUUACUUAACUACUUUAUGAUUUUAUUUUCAUUUCACAGUUAGAAAUUACAGUUUGAUAGAAUAGUAUAGUAAUAUUUUUUGCAAACCAUAAAAUUAUGGAAAAACUUCAAAUACCCCCCUUGUGGUUUCACUUUUUCUCACAUUAAUACCCUAUAGUUUAAAGUGUAUCAAGUUACUAUCUUGUGAUUUUGCACUUUUUCACUUUAGGGCAUGUUUGGUUGCUCGAAAGUCGGCGUAAUAGAAAAAGUCACUUUUACAAAAGUGACUUUUCAAUUCGAUUGUUUGGUUGCUAUAAAAUAAAAAAAUUAAAACUAUAAUUUUAUAAUUUUUUUUUAUUAAAUUAUAUAUAAAGAGGUGAAAAUAUAAACAAACGACUUAUACUUGCAAUUUAAAUUAAAAAUUUAAAUUUAUAUUAAUAUUUAGAAUUCAAAGUUAUAUUUUAAAAUUUAAUUUAAAGUUAAAUCUGAGUUGAAUUUAUAAUUAAAAUCAAAGACAUAAAUUUAAUUUACAAUUUGAAUUUAAAAUUUAAGUUAUAACUUAUAACUGAAAUUAAAUUUUAAAAUAAAAGUUCAACACAAAAAUUAGAACAUUUAUUCAAAUUUGAAUUUAUAAUUUGAAUCAUAUAUUAAUUUACUCUUUGAUCUUAAAUUUUGAAUUCAAAUAUGAAUUCACAAUUUAAAUUAUUAUUUAUUUUUAAAUUAAAACAUGAGUUUAAAUCACAAUUCGAAUCGAACAUUUGAAUUUUUUAAUUCGAAUUCAAAUUCAGACUGAAACUCAUUAUUGAAAUUAAAUGUAAAUAGCAAAUGUAAAUUUGAAUUUGAAUUUGAACUUGAAAAUUUAAAUUUUAAAUUCAAAUUUCAGUCAAUAAUUUGAAUUUAUAGUUGGAACAAUUUGAAGUCAAAUUUCAAAUUGAAGUUCUUAACUAAAAAUAAUUUGAUUAAAAUUUAAAAUUUAAAAUUUAAAUUUAAAUUCUAGAAUUCAAAUUUAAAUAAAAAUAAAUUUUAAAUUUUAAAUUUUAAUAUAAAGUCAUAAAAUUGAAUUUAAAAUUUUAUGUUGAAUUUUAAUUUACAAAUAAAAUUCAAAAUGUGAUAAUAAUUUUAAUUCAAAUUUAAAGUAAAACUGAACUUUAAAAAUAAAUUUAAGUAUUAAGUUAAGACUAAAUAUAACAUUUUAGCUAAGCUCUCCACUUUCGGUGACUUCCGAAUUUUUUGAGCCGAAGUCAAAAAAGUGAGAUUUGGUUAUAACUCACUUUAUCAACCUACUUUCGUAAAGUGACUUUCAUAUUCAUUUUCGUAAACCAAACAACCGAUGAAACGUCACUUUCUAAAAGUACCACUUUCGGUGUUACACUUUCGGCGAACCAAACAUGCCCUUAGUACCAUGUGGUUUAAAGUGUAUCAAGUUAGUAUCCUACGGUUUCACCCUUUCUCACUUUAGUACCCUGUGGUUUCACACUUUCUCACUUUAGCACUCUGUUGUUUAAAAACCACAGGGUACUAACUUGAUACAAAAAUAAAACCACGGGGUACCAACUUGAUACACUUUAAAUAAUAGGGUACUAAAGUGAGAAAGUGCGGAACCAUAGGGUACUAACUUGAUACACUUUAAACCAUAGGGUACUAAAAUAAGAAAGUACGAAACCACAGGGAGGUUUAUAAAGUUUUCCCUAAAAUUAUUAGUACAGAUUAUAGGACGAUAAAAUAUCAUAUUUUACAGUGUUACGGUUUUAUAUAUAAAUAUAUAUAUAUAUAUAUAUAGAGAGAGAGAGAGAGAGAGAGAGAGAGAGUGAGGCUACUAUGCUUCUAGAAGCACGGAGCCUUUCGUGCUUUCAGAUCAUUUUCGAUAUUGCCACUUUCGAAUUGUCGAUCGGCUCCGUUAAAUUUGAUCUAGAGUAUUUGAAGUACUUAGAAAAUAAAUUUUAUGAUUUUUCGAUAUCAUUUGCCUAGUGAUCGAAGAGGCUCAAAAUCAAUAAUUUUAAAGGCCGCAGUGAGCCGUUUGCAAGUUUAACGGUGUAGAAAUAUCCAAAUCACGUGAAAUUUUGAUAGAAAAUUCUUUAUACUAUAUAAAACAAGAUCAAUAUCUUUGAUCUAAAAUUUUAAUGUCAUAUUAUUACGUUUUGUAAGAUUUUUAUUUUCAGCCGUUGAUUUUGAGCCCCUUAGUUCGCUAGGCAAAUGAUAUCGAAAAAUUGCAAAAUUUAUUUUCUAGGUACUUCGAAUACUCUAGAUCAAGUUUAAGGGCUGAUCGCCUGAUUCGAAAGUCGCAAUAUCGAAAACGACCGUGAAGCACGGAAGGUCCGUGCUUCAGAAGCAUAGUAGCACUCACUCCAUAUAUUAUAUAUAUAUAUAUAUAUAUAUAUAGUCCGGCUACUAUACUUUUAUAAGUACGAUCGCCUUCGUACUCAUAAGUUGCUUUCGAUAAUAGAGUUUUCGAAUCAACGAUCCAUACCGUUAAACAUUAUCUAGAGCAUUUAAAAUUUCUAGAAAUCAAAUUUUAUAAUUUUUCGAUAUCAUUUAUUUUACGAUCAAAACCUCACAAAAUUAACAAUUUUUAAUAGCCGGUAUGAAAUAUUUGCUAGUUUAAUGGUGUAAAAAAAUCGGAAUAGGUUGAAUUUUUGAUAAAAAAUUCUAUUCACUACCUAAAUAAAGAUCAAUAACUCUGAUCUUAAAUUGAAGGUUCCAAUCAUCUAUUUUUAGUAUGUCGUUUGAUUUUGACCGUUCAUUUUAUUUCUGCUUGAUGGACUUUAUAAUGGUUUCAAAAAAUUACGAAAUUUAUUUUCUAAAAGUUUCAAAUACUCUAGAUCAUGUUUAACGGUGUGGAUCGUCGAUUCGAAAGCUUCAACAUUGAAAACAAUUUAUGAGUACAAAAGGCUCUAUACUCAUAAGAGUAUAGUAGCCCUCCUCUAGAUAAUGGAACUAAAUUAAUAGUUUACAUAUGGGUAAAUAAAACAAAUAAAAAAUCACAUGGUUUCUUUAAACCUUUUAAUGUUGGGGUUAUCAAGAGUAAUCAGACCAAAAUUCAAUAAUGUUUAUAUAUAUAUAUAGAGAGAGAGAGAGAGAGAGAGAGAGAGUAAUCCUUCAAUACAACAUAUAAAUCUUGACUUUUUUUUUUUUUUUGAAAACCAAAUUAACAAAAAAUAUUUUUCAGUCGAAAAAUUAUUUUUCGGAAUUUGUCAUGAAAAAAACCUAAUAGAGUAAUCGGACUAAUUUGCAGUUGGUUAAAAAUUUGAUAGUUGGUAAUCGAGAUUAUCGAGACUUCAAAUUUAAAGCCCAGUUAUUUUAUAUUUUUAACUAAGUUUAUUUUUGAAAAAUGAAUUUAGUGGAUAAUAUAAGUCAAGUGUUUGGUGACAUAAUAAUAUAAUAUUUGAAAGGGUAAAUAUUUUUAUUCUUACCACAAUCUAAUAUUUUUGGAUAAAGAGGAACAAAAAUAAUUUUUUGUUUAGUUUCACAUUUCUCAUUCCUAAUUCAUGUCGAAAAGCAAUGAAAAAAAAAACUAUUGAAUUAACUAAACAAACGCAUAAAAAAAAUAAUAAAUUUAAUUGAAUUUUUUUUUAAUUUUUUUUCCUUGAUUUCUCUGGACUUGGUAUUGGUGUCGGAAAGAGUACGAAAAAUCUAAAGAUAACCGUAAUUAUGUUUAGUUAUUUUCUCAAGAAUAACAGUGAAUAGUAGAAAAAAUAUGGCGCGGAUAACGAGACGAAAGUAGGGAUGCCAGCGGAUCGGAUUUGAGUUGGAUUUUCAAAAGCCCAAAUCUGCAUCCGACAUCUAAUAUCGAAACCCGAAUCUGGAUCCGUACUCAGCCAGUUUUAAAACUCCAUAUCCAUAUCUGACGCCGACCAAAAAUCCAAGACCCGAAUUCAAAAGCUCGACCCGAGAAUGAGGAGGACGUAGUGCCAAUGGAGACAGCGGAGAAAAUAGAGGAGAAGAGACCUGUUAGGAUUUGGAUGAUAAAAUGACUAUUUUUCAUCGGUGGAUAAAAAUUUAAUAGAUAAAAAUUAUUAAAUUUUUUUAUAUAUUGUAUAAAUAAAUAAAUAAAUAAUAUAAAAUUUAUUCGGGUUCGGACUGAAGUUCAGAUUUGGAUUUGAAUCAGAUGCAUACAAAAUCAUACCCGUAUCCGAAUUUGUCGAAUUUAGUGAAGGUAAACUCGCCUCUUUCGAAUUCGGGAUCAGGUAAUAUUUCGAAUAUUCAUAUUCAUCGAUAUUUCUAGACGAAAGGGUAGGUGAGAGUGCAGAGGCGAAGGAUAAAUUAGAGAAUAAUCUUAUUUUGCAAUUUUGACUCGUAUAAAUUAUUCGAAUCAAAUUUUAACUUAUUACAUAAAUAUUUUAUUACCGAACAGAGCCUGAGAUAUAGCGAGCCCACGUGGGUUUAGUGCAACUAAACCCAAUUUAAUUAAUUAAAAAUAAACCCUUAAAAAAAAGGACAAAUAGGAUGCUUAAUCGUACACGUGAUUCCAAUUUUUGUAUGCGCCCCACAAUUAGUAACGUUCCCUUGUCGGAAGGGUCUUCUAAAAUUAUUUAGGUAAAGAAAAAAAUGUAUGUUAAACCCCUCAACUAUAGUCCAAUUGGAAAAGGAACCCUCAAAUCUUUUUUUUUCUUUAAGUGUACACUUCUCAAAUUUUUUUAAAAUUAAUUUAUUAAAUUCAAUUAUAAUUUUGUUAAAUUUAACGGCUCUAAUUAUUUUCAUCAAAUAAAGCUGUAUAAACCGAUAACUGAUGUUUAAAAGAACUAUCGAAUAUUAAAAUCGACCAUCUUUUUGCUACGAAAUGACCAUUAUGUUUCCGAAAGAAUUUAAUUUUAUUUAACGCUAUUAAUGUCUUUUAAUUAUAUUAUCAUAAAUAAAUUUCAAAGAAUUAUUUUAAUGAGUAUAAGGGGUAGUAAAAAUGUAACGAUCAACUAAGGAUUAUCAAUCUGCAAGGAUAAAGUUGUAUAUUUUGAAGUUUUACAGAAAUAUAUGUGCUAAUUAAAACUUUGCAUCUAUAAUUUUAGAACAUUGUAGAAAAUUUUUUUUGGAAAAAAAACCUCAAUAAAAAAAUAUAAAAAUUAGGGACCAUUUACAAAGUUGUCUACAACUGAGGGGGUUCCCAGUAAAUUUUAACCAGUUAUUUAUUAAAACCCAUAUGCAUGUUUCGAUCCACCCCUUUGACCAAGUAUUUAUUGGCCACACUUUAACCUCUCUCUCUCUCUCUCUCUCUCUCUCUACUCAGGUACUACUCUCAGAAGCAAUUUUGAAAUUUGAAACUUUUUAUUUCAAAUUUGAGUUUUUAUUUGCUUUGACUUGUGUUCACUCUGGUAUCGUAAACUUCGAUUAACUAGACAUGGACACUGCUGAAAUAACCACUUUGUCAAAUUGCACCGCAUCNAUAUAUAUAUAUAUAUAUAUUAUCUACUCAUAACGUUCUCUCUAAACCCCACUUCGCAACUAUGAAUUAGGAUACGGCGAGUCUGCAACAACACUGCAUCAAAAGCGAAGGAUUCGUUGGAGAGUUGAGCUCCCUUCACAAUACAAUGCCGCGAUCCAGGUUAAAAAGAAAAAAGAAAGAAAAGAAAAAUUAUAACACCAAUUUUUAGUUUAGAUUUGUGUUUUUUUUUUCUUUUGCUAAUAAUUAUCAAUGCAAAAAGUAGGGGCUCUGAGUUGCCGCAGCAGAGGGCGUCGCCGCGGGCGCCGCUCCACCUGAAAACCACCGCGUGCUCCGACGCCAACGGCAGCGUCCACCACCGCCCAGGUGCGGCGUCGAGUCCCAAGCUCGACGACCGCCGCUCCCCUCGCAGCGCCUUUCACGAGGUACGUGUGCGUAAGUUGUUUUCGAUGAUAGAACAUAUGAUUCGACGAUAGAUGAUUUCGCUAAAUAUAAUUUUACAAAAAUAUUAAAUUUUAUAAAUUUUUUGAAUUUAUUUGUGUAGUGAAUCGAAUAGUCUUGUGUUUUAAAUGUUCUUCAAAGGCAACUGUUCUUAUGUAAUUUGGAACCAUAGAGUAAUGCGUAAGUAAUUUAUUUUAGAGCUAUGCUACUUUUGAUGCUACAAAAUUUUCAAAUAACGAAGCUUGAACACUUCCAACUAGAAUGCCUUUUUUUUAUUAUUAUUAUUAUUUCGAAUUAGACCGUUAGUACCGCCAUUGCCUUUUUGAAAUUUCAAAUCCCAACGGUUGAUUUUUUUUUUUUUAAUUUUUUUAUUUUUUGGUUGUUGUAACAGAAGAAGCGCGGAACUCAAGUGGCGGAUUUGGAGACGAAGCUGAAGAAGGCACAGGAGGAGCUGAAGAAGCUGCGGGAGCAGCUGGCAUCUGCCGAGUCGGCGAAGACCGACGCGCAGGCCGCCCUCGAGGAGGCCAAGAAGCGCGUCGCCCCGCAGUCGCCGCUGCCGCCACCGUCGGCCCCCAACCCCGUCGUCGCUUACGAGAACACGAAUUCGGCAUUGCAAUUGGGGACCGAUGAGGCGGAGGAGGUCGGCGACGCACCGCCGUCCCCUGCCACCGACGUUUUCGAGGUCGUCGAGGUCGCCGCCGUCCCCGCGGAGUCGGACAACAAGGAGAAUGUAUGCGUCGGCACCGAAGACGGAGACGAUCAAGAGGUAGAGUUGGGAGAAGAGGCCGAGAAGACGAUGAUGAUCGUCGAGAAGAACGAAUGCGCAGAGAAGAAGAAGAGAGACGACGGCUAUGCUGCGGAGGCGGCGGAGCUCCGCGAGAGGGUGGCGGAGAAGGAGAAGGAGAUCGAAGCCGCGGCGGCGGAGAACGCGGAGCUCAAGAAGGCGGCGGAGGCGGCGGGGGCGAGGAUUAGGAGGAUGGAGGAGGAGUUGCGGGACAGCAGGGAGAGGGUGGGGAGGUUCGUGGAGGAGGUGGAGGCGGCGGAGGGGGCGAAGGAGGCGGCGGAGGCGGAGGUGCGGCGGCUGAAGGUGCAGGCGGAGCAGUGGCGGAAGGCGGCGGAGGCGGCCGCCGCGAUGCUGGCGGCCGCGGACGAAGGCGCGGUCGGGCGGUGCGGGUCGAUGGACAAGCAUCUUGUGGCAGGCGGGAGCGGGUACGGAUGGGGAUCACCAGCGGUGGCGAUCGGGGAGGAGGCAGAGGAGGAAGGGGGGGCGGCGGCGGCGGCGGGCGCGGGGAAGUGGCGGGGGGGGGGGNCGGGGGGCGGGGAUGAGGAUGCUGGGGGAGCUGUGGAGGAAGAAGGGGCAGAAGUAGUUGAGUAUUAAGGAGUUGUGAUGAUCCUGGAGGGAGCUUCCUCAGCUUCUCCUCCUCAUCUGUGGCCACUACGGAUUUUGGGAUCAGCUUCUUUUGUUUUGAGGGUAAAAUUCGCAUAACUGGUCACUAAUCUUAAUUAUCUAAAUCUUUGUUUCGCUGCCUAAUCGCUUAAUUUUAGUAAAUGGAUUCUUAACGUUUGUUAGUUGUUUCGAUCAAGUCUCCUACGACAGCGCGGAGACACCAAUAAAUGCUCAAAAUAUGAUAGUUUUCGCACGAAUCAAACGAACUUUUUGACGGAACAAGGAGUUUAACUGGAAACAACUAACAGGGGAGGCGAAGGACCCAAUUACAAGAAACUAAAAAUGCCGAGAAGUGUGGUGAAUGUUUAGGACCAGUGAUGCAAAAUUUGCCCUCUUUUUGGUGUUGUUGCUGAGUUUGUUGUAUUGUAUUAUGCUGUAUUGUUUGUUCUUGUUGUUGUUUAUGGAACAGCCAAGCUUUUUUGGUUUCCUCUUGGUACAUAACUUUUGAUUCAGUAGGUGAAGUGGUGUUGGAGAGAGAGAUGUUGCAGCUUUUAAUGUAUGAAAUGAAAUAGCUUCAGCUGCUGCUGCAGCAGCAGCAGCUGCAGCUUCUGCAGCAGUUUAGGUAAAAGCUAUUGUGGAGUGGGCUUUAUAGAUGGGAACUGGGAUAUUUGUAUGUUCUGAAGCACCCUGUUGGUCCAGCUUUUCUGAUAGUGGUUGGUGGGGAAAGAGAUUUCAAUCAAGGCCCCUGAUUAAAGCCUGUGGGGCCCUACUAGCUUUGGGACAUUUAUACACCUGCAUCAAUCACCAUCCAAAAAGAUUUAAGAAAUAAAAAGCAUCAAUUGUAUUGUUGGGGCUAGAAAAGUGGUGAAUUCCAGAUUAUACAUGCUUCUACUGGUAAUAUUGAUUUUGAACCAAGCUAUCAAGUAUAAUUGAUACUAACCUAGUCUUAGUCUAUUUGCUUGUGCAAGUCAUGUAUUUCCCGAGUAAUGCUAUGUUGUUUUCGAAAGUAGAUGAUAGUAGAAACUGACAUGAAGGUAUUAGUUUGAUCGAACGAAGCGUAAGACGAACCAUCCUGCUAUAAAUAAAUUGCUUAAUGUAGUUGUUACCAUACUAAUUUCACUCUCAUCGAUUUAAAAUAGUAUUGAUCUUCACUAAGAAUUGAGCUCCUAUGCUUUUAUUGGUGCCGGAAGGUUUUCAAUCUUUGAAUUAAGGAAUGUGUGAUUAGGAUAAUAGUCGUCUCAUAAAGUUGAGUGAGUAGUUGGUGCUAUAACAUAAUUUGAGAGGCGAAAUUGAUCACAGAGGUAGAUCUAACGGCGGAAAACUUACAAGCACCAAGAACUUGCUACUUUUAAAAGUAUCGUAGCUGGACUCCUUCAUUAAUUAAUUACUGUAUAAUUGAAAUAUCGGUGAUCUAAAUAAUUUAAUAUAAACAUGAGCUAGGUUGGAGUGCUAUUAUUAUUAAUAAAAUUAAAAGUGUUAGUGCUUUAGAGUCAUUCUUGACAAUCAAGUAUCCGGUUGGACAAUCGUCAUUACUAAACAUGAUAUAAAGCACUUUUUUGAAAAACUGAAUUUCAUAGUUUUUUUAAUAUUAUUUACUCUGUGAAUAAGCAAUCCCCAAAAUUAACAUUUUUAACAAUCUAUGUGAGUUUUGUGGUUUACAGGUGCUGAACAAUUCAAAUUAAUUGAAUUUUUUGAUAAUUUUAUAUAGCUAUCUAGAUCAAGACAUACAACUAUAAUAUUGAAUUCAAGAAUUAUAUCCCCUUAUUUUUAAAAGAUUGUUAUACUUUAACCAGUCAUUUUGUGACAAUUUAAUAAAAAAAAACAAUUUUAAAAAUUAUAUAGUUCGGUUUUUUUAAAAAAUUUGAUGGUGUUGAUCAUUGAUCUGGACGCUCCAUCACAACAUUAUUUAAACCUAAGCCUAUAGCAUUAAGAACUUUAAGCAAUAUUAAUAGCUCCUAACUCUAACUCAUAUAAACUAUGCAUAGAGCUAAGAGAACAUUAUACUGGAGAAAUGAGCAAUUAAUAAUUCAGGAACCUUUUUUGACAUGGUUUAUGUACUUAAUUGAAUAAUACACAAAAGAUAGUGGCUCACCUAUUAAAUAACUUGACAAAUAACAAUUAAUGUACAACAAUAUUAAAUUAUAAGGGAACAAGUUCUCCCUAGAGGGAAAGAAUUUCCAUAAAUAACCUUUUCCAAAAUGAAAACUAUCCUAAGCUGCAGGUGUAGAUGCAUAGAUGCCAAUCAUACUGCAGCAAUGGCACAUUGCGAAGAGCCCCUUUGAACUUUUCCAGUGAAAUGCUUCAAAUCCACGGCGUUUCUCGGAACAAGCCAAACUGUGAAAGGAUUAAGGAAGAUGGAAGCAAAGAUUAAAGUGUCUUCCUACAAGAGGAGAAAUUGUUAGAUCUCGUAGAUGGAUUUACCGUUUUUGCCCUUAGUGAAGAAUUUGGCUGCCGUAAUCCUGGUUGAACUUUUCAUAGCGGUGUGCAUGUAGAUGGGCUGAUGGUCGUGUAUUCUUUAAAGCAAGCUCAACAUCUUCUGGCGUGACAGGACCAACUUCGGGCAUUUCUACAUGAAUAUCAAGUAAUUAGUUGAAAUAUUGAUCGUUAAUUCUUCACGGAAUUAAAGCGUUGCGAGAUGAUUUCUACAUACUAAGGUGAGAUACUAGAGUGUUUGGAGACAAUCCAAAUAUUCAGCAUAGUUGCAUAAAGUGACCACUAGAAAAAAUGUGCAACCUAGUGGUUGCAAGCCGAACACUAAUUAAUAAUACAUAAAAGCCAAGGAAAAAAAACACUCAUAUCUAGCUAUUUUAUGUGAUUGUUUUUGCAUUUAAUCUUGUUUGUGACAAAGAUGAUGACAAUUCCCUGUAUCAAUUCAAAUUUUCGUUCUCCUUUGACCAUCUUUCCCACUCAGAAGAAACAUCCCAGGAAUUUCUCUGAUCAAUGUAAGUUUUCUCUCUUAACCAUCCUUCUCUACUCAAAAAUGUCCUUAGAACCUCCUCCCUUGCUUUUACUUGCUCAGUAUUUUGGUAUCAUUUCCCAGAAAAUGGGAUCAAGCUUUAACCACACGUUGUAUAUAGGGAAAAAUUAUGGUCUGAGAGCCAAUUUCUAGCCUGGUUGAUUCCAAAAGUUUGAUAUAAAUAAUUCUAAUAAAUGAAACUUCAGUUUCAGUCUGAUACUUUGUUUUUGUAACAGUUCAGAUAAUCUUUCCAGAUGUUGCAUACAUUUAAACAAAUGGGAGCAAGCACACUAAGUUAUACACAAUGUUCUAAACUGCGGAAAUGACUUGUAGUCUGCCAAAUACAUAAUAACAUAUAUGCAGUAAGCAGGUACAAAUUUAGCUCAUAUAAGUUAAUAUAAAACAUAUUGAAUCUAAUAAAAAUAGUAAAACAUGUGAUAAAAACACAGAAAACCCUCAGAAGAUCUAAGAAGAAUUUUAAAAAUAUAGAUUUUAUAAAUGAUCUACUCAAACAUUUUGUAGGACAGUUUGGCAACUAUACAUGCCAAAGUCUCAGGUCUCAAGCAAAUUUGUUAAAAAAACUAACUUGUGUUCGUAAUCAAUAAUCAGCAAGUCAUGCCAAACCUUCUAUUUAUCGCUUAAAAUGAAUGAUAGUAGGUGCUUACCUGCUAUUGACUCUUAGCAUUAGAUUAGACAAUGCUAAUCCACAAUUUGGUAGGUCACCUAUUGACUCUCAGCUCGGCAAUGAAAAUUUCAUAGAAAACAACAUAGCCUAGCUAACUUAAAAUUCGAAACAAAAGCUUAGAACUGAAUGGUCAUACUUACCAUCCUCAGGUACCUGUUCUUGUCUGCCUUCGAGAACAGCCAUUAAACGCCUCAGCGGCUGCAUCGCUGCCUCCUUGCAUACAAGACGGAUAUCAGAACCUGAAUAGCCUUCCGUCCUUUCCACCAGAAUAUCAUAUGGAAUCUCCGCCUCUCCGGGUGUUGACGGCAGAAGCUCCUCGAACAUUGCAUGUCUUGCUUCUGACUCUGGCAGGGGUACAAGAAUCUGAUUGAACAAAGUCAAAGAGAAUUUCAUCUUACGAAAAGAACUCUUUGUACCAAGAUAAACAGGUCUUUCCCAAGGACUGGUAGUACAAGGAUUUAAAAGCGCUUUAUGUCAAGAUUUUCUUGACAUUCACAUAAGGUCGAUGCUCUCAUUGGAUAAAGAUAGAAUAGAAGCUAGGAUAAGAAAAGAGAACCAGUUGGAGAAAAACGCCCAAGGCAGAUCCAUUACCAACAAUAUUUCACAAAGGUAACCCAAUUAUACGAGAACUUUGAUGUUGUUGAUAAUUAUGAUAGUAAUUUCAUAAAAAGACUUGAUGCUCAAAAACAGUAAUACGUGUGUAACUUGAUGAAUAAAGCAAGCAAGUUAUGGCAUAGUUUGGUACCGCUUCCCAUCUUUUGUUUUUCAUUAAACCUAAAUUUCAUUUUCCCAAGAGGGCUACUAUAUGUUAUUAGUUAGCUUGCAACAUGCCACAUCUGGAUGUUAAACAGCAUCAUCUUUAGGAAGUUUCGUUCUUGUUGCUUAACAAAUGUGUAUAGAUUGCAAAAGGGAGGCCUUAAAGAAUCGAGGGGUACAGAAAGAGGCCUAAAAGAAUUCCACAAACAUAAUAAUCUCACAUAAGGGUAUACAGCUAUUAUAAAUUUCAUGGGGUUUUGUAAAAUUAUUGACUCUCAGAAGUCCAUUUAAUAGUUACAAGUCCAUUAUGUUUGCAGGGACGUGUAUGCAAAUAACCCUAAUUUAAAACACUAUUGAUGUGGUUCCUGAGUUUGGAAGCUCUUUAUCCUAGAACCGAAAAAGUGAAACCUAGGCGAAAUGUAUCAGAUAGCUAUUACCUUGUGAAAAGCAAAGGAUUGUUUAUGUCGUUCUAAUAGUCAUCUAAUUUGUUUUAAUUCAUUGUGCUACAAAGGAUACACGCUUCUCAAGACGGCGGAGCAUUGCUGCAUCCAACUCCCACGGUAGAUUUGUUGCCGCUAAAACAAAUACGAGCUCAUCUGUCUUCAUCAAGCCAUCCAUCUGCAACAUGGAUUAAGUUUAAGAAGUAAUAUAUCCAUAAUUUGCAUCUCCUUUGCACAUUUGUUCACAAUGGAAGCUAAAAUUACAAACUACGCAAUCGUAAGGCCCUCUUUGAAUGCGUAAACAUCUUGUUCACCAUAAGCAUAUCUCUUUGACUUGCAGAGUUUGUAGCGUCUGGUUGAUGAGGAGUGGUGAUCAAAUGUCUAGAUUGACAUACCAUAUUCCGCCUUCUAAUCAUUUUCUUAGAAUAAGAUAAAUUAUCUUAUAGGUGAAAUAUGUUGUCCUACCAAAUUAUGAACAUCAAAACCUUUCAAAGAGCAAAAUCAAACUCCUAGCUUCAAAUCACAAAAGAAUAUUUUCAUACCGAACAAGUUAUCACUAAUAACUUAAUCCGACAUUCGAACGGGGCCUAAAUCUCAAAAUGCAAUUCAAGUUUGCUAAGGUAUAAUGAGAAAGAGUUGUAAUCUUGCUUGCUGUUGCUGCAACUGAGAUGCAAGAAAUUUGCUGACCGCAAAUAUUUAUAAUUCGUAGUAUUUCUUGGGAUUACUAUGUUAGGUAGCUAUAAGAAUUUGCAUAUAUGAACCAGCUAAAAAGCUCAGGAAAUGCCAAAAAAAAUGUAUAUAUCCUCAUAAUUUUUAUGUUAACAUGAAACACCAGGAACAGGAAACAGAAUGUCAUAAUAACCACAAAAAUAAUAAUAAGGCUGAAAACACAAAUAUGAACCAACGCCAACAGUAUGAUCACUAUUAUGAAAGGCUAAUGCAUGUUGAAUAUAAACCAAAUGACCUACAAUUGUUAGCCUCUUUCGAUGAUUUUGAUAGAUAAUCAAGGAAACAAAACAGUUGGACUCAUUUUUUUAACUCUUUCCAGCUUGUGCAUGUUAAAAUUUGCAUGUUAUUCACUUGAUGACCAUUACUUUAACUAGUGCAUUUCUCCCUUUUUCAUCCUUCUUGACUUCUCCUUUAUUUCUUACCCUGCUACUACACAGACUCUUUAUUUUCCUUCCCUUUCCCCGAGCUCUUAAUUCUUACUUCCUUUUUUGCUCUGGUAGGUUUGAUAAUCCACAAAUAACAGACAUGAGGAAAUGACAAAUGACUGCCUAUGCAAAUGGAUAUUGGCUUUGAAAUCAUCUAGACUUCUAGAAUUAAUUGGUUAGAAUCAGACUGCAGGAGUGAAUUACAAUGGAUAUGCGGCAGCAAGAAUUCUACACACUUAAGAAAUACACUUCUUACCUGUAUAAGUAGCUCAGUUUUCAAACGUCGACUUGCUUCAUGCUCACUUCGAGCUUCACCACGUUGACUAAUGAUAGCAUCAAUUUCAUCAAGAAAUAUGGUAGAUGGUGCAUGAUGCCUGGCAAGCUCAAAUAGAACUUUCACUAACUUCUCUGAGUCACCUGCACAUGGCAAACUAAACAGUAAACAAGCUACAAAAGAAGAGAGAGAGAGAGAGAGGAAUAGUAUAUAGAAUACAAUGGAUAAUCCAAAAGAUUCAAAACUUUGUUGGAUGUCUUUUAUAAAAAAAAAAAAAAAAGAGAGAAGAAAAAGGAUUCAUGCAAGUAUGAACAGAUAUUGAGUCUCCCCAUCGGCCUUCUCUAAUAGGGAACUCGAUAAAUCCCCAAUUCAUUCCAAAGGUGCCAUUACCUUUUUAUUGUUAUUUAGUGAAGGAAACAGAAGCUGUAAACAUAUUUUAAAUAAUUCAUUGUCAUCCUCCGUGAAGCCCAAGAAGAAAAGGACACAAAAAAGUUUUCAUUGAACUAAGCAAGGAUGGAAAGGUAGAGAGUAGGCAGAUUUAGUAAUUCCUCAUCGUUAAAUCAGCCCUUCCCAGAGUAGGAAGGCAUAGUUGAUGCAAUCCUUAAUCAUAGACGGCAGCAAUAACCCAAUCUCUAAAUUGUCUUGAAACUAAGGUCCUUGUUGAUGAGAUCAAAAAUACCAUUAUUAGUCUCCUGGGUAACCUUCUACCAUCUUGGUCUGACGGACACUACAGAACACUCCAUUGUAGGAUUUCUAUUACAAUUGUCUGCAUGGUUUAUAAAAUAGCAGAUGGAGAAAAUAUCAAUAUGGCAAAUGACCAAAACAUUUUUAUAUUAGAAUUCACCAUUAUAAUUACAAUUCUCCCUGGUUCGAAAUUUUCAUGGUCGCUCAGACAGGUGAAAAAAGAAAAUUGUAAGGCUAAUGAAGUGAGUUUUAUAUGUGGCAACUCUUUUUCUCCUCAACACCAAACAAUGUAAAUAUAUGUAAAUAAUGAAUCUAUGGCAGAAUAGAUUGAUCUUCACGAAAACGUCACAUGUACAAAGGUUCUGCUAGGAUCCAAAGUGGUACUACAUAGAACUCGUUCUAUUAUCCUCUCCAAAAUUUGCCUCCAGACAUUUAAUUAUCAUUAGCAGAGAAAAAAAAAAAUGCCAGAGAAAAAGUAAAUGCCAAUUACAGUGAAAUGAGUCAAACGACCACGGACAACUAUACUAGAAAAAUUAUGUGACUAAAUUCCAUGAAAAGGAAGAAAGCUAUUAUAUCACAAAAGAAUAGUUGCUUAUGAGGAAAGCAGAACAUACCUCGCCAUUUGCUAACAAUUGAUGAUGCUGAAAUGUUGAAAAAAGUAGUUUUGCACUCAGUAGCCACAGCUUUUGCUAGCAUUGUCUGCAAACAUUAUAUACACGAAAAGUGUUUGAUGAGAAAAUCUUCACAAGAGAUUCCCAAAAUGAGAAUAUACAGUUAGAUAAGAUAGUAUAGAUCGCGCCCAAGAAAUACUGCAUAGGCAAAGCUUAUCAGCAAUUUCAACUAAGCUAAAGCUUCUGUACCAAGUUUUGUUAUUUAGAUAGCAACUACUGGCAUGCUCACUCUACGUACCUUAUCAAAAUGUAUAAAACUACAGCUUGUGUAGAUUCAUUUGCAACUUUGACCAAGCUCUGAACAAGCUAAUAAGCUUGAUGAGCCUAAGCUGUUCAUAAACAGCCAAAAUUGCUUUCAUUUUUUCAUCAUUAAUUAUUAGUUAGUGUAGAGGUCUGCAUUUCUUACUAAGGCAAUCAAUCGAAUGAGUAGUUGAAAACUUCAAAGAAUAAAAGCACGAAAAGCAGUGAAUAAGAAACUAGAGGAAAAAAGUCGUGAACUUUGCUGGUAGCUCUACAAAAUAUAGCUGAAAAUGAAGGUGCCAAGCAUCAUAUAGUCCAAUAUUACAAACCUUUCCUGUGCCUGGAGGGCCAAAGAGUAAUAUUCCUUUCCAAGGUGAUAAGAGACCAGUGAAAUACCUCAAAGUAACAUAAGAAGAAAAAGAUCACAGUCAUCAUUUUAUCCUUCUUCCCAAACAAAAGCUUCAGACUAUUACUGAGAUUAACUCCAAAACACAUUCCUUUAGGUAUUUGACAUACUUCGGAUAUUUUAUGGGCAUGACAACUGCUUCUUUAAGUAGACGUUUCGCGUUCUCUAAUCCCUUGAUGCUUUCCCAUUUCACAUCUGGACUCCCACGAAUGAUAUCCCUGUAGGCAAAUAAGAUUAAACCAUGACAACACAACUAGGAAUAGCCACAAAGAAUGCACACAUUUCGAAUUCAAAUUCAGAAUAUACCAUCAGAGGUUACCUGCAUAAUGUCUCUGCUAGUGUACGAGUUUCGGCGGAUUCAAAAGGCGGAAGUAGGGAUUUCUGGCUGCAAAGAAAAGUACAUCCAUGAGAAUUAUAUUUUCCGAGACAAAGAAAACUAUAGCGGAAGGAAAGAAAGUAGGACAUAUGUACUGGAAAUUAACUAUAUGGAAAGAGAAUCAGUAUGGUUUUUGGAAAAGAUAACAAAUGAGCAAAAGGAUAGAAAGCUAUGUGAUAUAUAUGAGACAGUCAGGAUAGUAGUAUAAAUGUCAAUCAAGAAGAUUUGCAGUGAUACUAACAACACCAAGCCUUGCAUAUUUUGAGUAGCAUAAAAAAAAUGCUAUGGGAUAGGUUAAUAUCCUUUGUUUGGAACUUAUUCAAUCUAGCACAAUGUAGUUUUUCUCAACAAACUGUUAUACCAGAAGAUUGCUUAAAUUUCAGUACGUCACUUUUCUGUUGAGAUUUUACGGGUUUAGCACUGCAUAUACCACAGAAGAUGAGCACGGUAUUAGACGAUCAACAAGACUCUGCUCUGCAAAGUUGGAGUGCCCCUGCACAAAGCCCCAGCUACGUGUCUUUACAAAUUACAUGUCACAAUCUCAGGGCAGCACCUUGUUGCAAUAGUUGGCAUGCAUGGGUAAGAAGACCAGUGGAUACAAGAAAAGUUUAAUUUGGUUUUAGAUUGGCAUAUUUUGAUAAUUGCUUUAGGUUGACUCUAGUAAUAGCCAGCACUGUAUUUUCAAUUCUCUUGGAAGUUCUGCCAUAGGCCCAUAUAUUCUGUGGACGUUGAAGCUAAAUUCCUAUUUUGAAUAGGGGAUUUUACAGCCACAAGGGAAGCAAAAUCAAAGACAGAUUUCACUGUAAGAAAUUAUUGUUAAACUACAGAAGUAGAAGUCACAGAAUUUAAGGUAACAUCGGAAUAUUGAGGGAACAUCUUUCCAAGACACAAUUCCUAAAUGACAGCAGGGAGAAAUUAAUAGAAAAUACUUUAACGUAGAGUUCAGAUUUUGCAUGAUUGAACUUAGUAAAGAAAUACAGAGUUUUUGUGAACAUGGGCUUUGAUUCUUCUCUACUUUUACGGUUUCUACAAAUCUCCCUGAGAGAAAUAUUCCUUUCUUGUUGAAAAUAUUCAAAAAAUCUUUCUAACAUCUUAUUAGCUGUAAACUGAAAAAUGCUGUGGAAUUAUUGCACCCAUUUAUUUUUUCCGAUCUGCAGAAUUUUUAUGCUACAUUUUAAUUCUUUUUGUUCAGAAUAAACCCUCUAUUGUAAUAAUUUGGAAAAUUUCUUUAUAGCAUUUAGGUACCAAACUACAUCACCAGUAUGCUAGGCCAAAUGAUCAUGAAUAAGCCUUCUAAACAUAGUGUUUGAAAGUCACACCCUAACCAUCAUGAUUUAUGACUUCAAUAAACUUGUUUGAAUUCCUAAAGCAAAAGUAGAUGUUGUGAAAACUUCCUGCAUUAUGAUCUGCAUGUAGAAGCCAUAAAUUUGACAAAAGAACAUCGAAGAGAGAGAGAGAGAGAGAGAGAGAGAGAGUGCAAGAUUAUGGUAUUUGAACUGAUGCUAAAGUGAGAUUUCAAAUAAGAAGAAAAAGGUGUGUUUGGCCCUGCUACAGGGUAUAGUGCUGUCGGAUGAAAGUUCCAUCUAAAUAGUGCUCUUAAGAGAAACAUUUUAUGAAAACUCAACUGGUUUUCUCCUAGUAGAAAUAGAAGCACCAAUUAGGAGUAUCUGCUUUCGGACCUUAGAAUCUCAUCUCCAACACCACUAUAGCAAAAACACUACUUUUUUUUUUGUUUUGUUUGUCAAAUGCUCUUCUAAGGUGAUUGUUGCUGGUAGCAGAAGCAGAAGCAGGGGACAAAGGAGCGCUGAAUUCACAUCUCAAGCAACAAUUUUGAAACCACAACUUAAGAAUGAAAUGAUUGGAGCAGAUAUAAACCGAACAAUGCCAUGCCACCACACGCAGCAUCAAUGAACACAAAAAGACAUGCUCCGAAAACAACUGCUGUAUAUUAACUAUUCCUAAACAACAAGACAAUGAAAAAGCAAAAUAAAGUAGCAUAUGAUUAGUGUGGACUCUUACGGCACUUCGUAGUCACCCCUUUCCGAAAUAACUCCCGGGCGCAUCUCCAUCUUCCUCUCCUAAAUUACAUCAAAAUUACUCAUCAAAUCACACAUAAACAUCUAAAGAUUAGCGAAAUUCGAUCACAAAACGAAAUCAACCUGCCGCUCAAACUGCUCAAAGAUCGCCAAAUCCGAGGCGUUCUUCUUGGCGCUCCCAUUCGCGCUGAUCGCGCCAUUCGCGUAGCUCCCAUUCGCAUUCGAUCUCCCAUCCGAAUCCUCCUGCUUCGGCUCCUCCUUCCGCCCGAAUCUCACAUCGUAAUACAGCUUAAAAUCCUGAGAAAAGCGGAUCACAUUUAACGAAAUCACACAAAGACGCGAUCGAGAGCGCGCAAGGGUUUGGAUCGAUCGGAAUCACCUCGAAGCUCCAGCGAGUGGGGAGUGGAGCGUCCCCCAUGGUGCCGCGGCGAGGGUUUGGGAGCGGCGGAGGGGGAGGGGAUGGGAUCUCGCGCGCUCUCUCUCUCUCUCCUCUCUCCCUUUCUCCCGGUAGUUAGGAACGAGGAGAGAGAGAGAGAAGCGGAGGAGAGAAACGUCUAAAGAGAGAGAGAGGAGCCACUUCGGAAUAUAAAAAACACUAGUAGUAGCUGUGAUCGCUUGAGACCCUGGAGAAGGAAAAGUUCGGCUUUUUUUACAUUUAGACCCUGGCAAAUUUUUAUUUUAAAAAUAGUCUUAUCAAAAUUUAAUUUGCAAAAAUAGUCCUGGGCCUGUCACGCAGGCGCCACGUCAGCGCCACGCUGGCAGAGCUGGGCCCGUGUGUUAAGUUGAACACGGUGAACCAUUCACCGUGUUCACCGUGUUUAAUACAUAUUUUUUGCGUACUUUUUGUAUAUUGAAAAGUGGAAUAAGGAGUAGGGAUGUCAAUAGGUAUAGAUAUCUGAAAUAUUAUCCGAAUUCAAACCCGAAUAAAUUAUAUAUAUAUAUACAUAAUUUAUUUUUAUUUAUUUAUAUAAUAUAUAAAAUAUUUAAUAAUUUUUAUUUCUUAGAUCUUCAUUUACUAGCGGGUUUUAAAAAUCUAUACUGUUAGAUGAAGAUCUAAGGAAUAAAAAUUAUUAAAUAUUUUAUAUAUUAUAUAAAUAAACAAAAAUAAAGGUUUGGAUUCGGAUAAUAUUUCAGAUAUCCAUAUCUAUUGACAUCCCUACUCCUCAUUCCACUUUUCAAUAUACAAAAAAUAAGUACUAUACACGGUGAAUCAUUCAUUCACCGUGUUUAGACACGGUGAAUGAUUCACCGUAUUCAACUUAAUACCUUGGCCCCAGUCUUGCCUGCGUGGCGCUGACGUGGCGCCUGCGUAGCAGGGACAGGACCAUUUUUGUAAUUUUAAUUUUAAUAGGGCUAUUUUUAAAAUAAAAAUUACUCAGGGGACUAUUUGCAAAAAAAGCUCCCGUUUAUAUUAAUGACAUUUUUUUAAUUAAUUAAUUUUUUUUUAUAAAAUUUUUUUUUAUUUUUUUAAAAAAAUAAUUAAUUUUUUAUUAAUGAUGUGUUGUAACUAUGUAAGUAUAACACAGUAAACUUUUUUUUUCUUCUAAAGAGAAAGAAGAGUAUAUUAGGCAUUAAUUUAUAAACAAAUGGAAAAGAAUAAAUUACACUUUUGUCCUCAAACUAUAACCAAUAUUAUAUUUUGGUCCUCAAAUUUUAAUUCGCAAUAAUUUAUGACUUGAACUUUCUGAAUUAUUGGAAUUAAAUUCUGCAAUCUAAUUUAUUGACUAAAUAAAUAUUCACGUGUCACCGAUAUAAAAGUGAUGUUUGCGUUGUUAUAAUUGAUGAAGCAGUAAUGAUUAGAAUAAAAUACCAAUUCCAUAUCAGUAAUACGUAAAUAUUUAGCCAGCUAAAUUCGAUGUAUGGCUUUAUUGCAAUAAUUCAAAAAAUUUAAAUAAAAAAUUAUUGUCAAUUAAAGUUUGAAGAUAAAAGUUUAAUUUGCCAGAUAGAAAAAUAGUUAUUAUUCAGCCUACUAUUUUAGGAGCUAUUUGAUUUCAUGCAUUCCAAAAAAAUAAUAUUAUUAAUAUAAUUAUUAAAAAAUUAAAAUAUGUGUGCAAUUUAUUCUAGUCAUAACUAAAUACUGCAGUAAACUGUUUUUUAAAAUAAAAACAAGAAAUUCUUAAUUAUUGUACCACAAUCUGGAGCCAAAUUAGAUUUGUUAGAAAUACAGUAGUUGAAAAAGAAAAAUAAAAAGGAUUAGAAAAAUAACCUCACUAUCCAUCUUCUGAAAAAAUAAAAUCUGAAAAAUACGUUUUCUCAACUUGAAGCGACUAAAACGGAAUUCAUAAUUGUGAUAUUCUUGACCAUAUAACGACUGUUUAUAUAUAAGAAAUAAUAUCUAAUAUAUCAUUCAAAUUUUCAAAACUAUCUAAUAUACUCUUUUGUUGGUCAAAAUAUUUUUAUUGAUUUUGAAAAAUUUAUUCAAAUAUAUUUCUAAUUAAGCAAUUUAUUAAUAAGAUUUAGGAUUUAGAAAGAUAUUUUGAAAAUAGAAAGAUAAAUUUAAAAUUUCCAUUAAAGUAUUGCAUUUUCUCAUAUGAAAAUUCAACUGGGUAGCUAUUAGAGUACCAGAGUUAUACUCUAUCAUUUAUGUCCAAUUAAUUAUAUUUCCGCCUUCAAAAAAUUUAUAAUAAAAAAAAUUUUAAAAAAAAAUUAUGACGGCGAUGGUGAAUUCUAAUAACCAAAUCUAUAGAUAUAAUGAAUCCCGAAUUUUACUGUGGCCUACGUGGCCGCUUCUCAGCGCCCCUCCUCUCUGCCGUUUCUUCUCGGGCGGACGCGGGCGCAUGAGUGGCGUGAGCGGGCGUCGGGCGCAUGUCGCGCGCAUGCGGGGGAGAGAGGAGGGGGAGAGGGAGAGAGAGAGAGCCGGGGGGUGGGGAGAGGGAGAGAGGGGGAGAGAGCAGGGGGGACUGCCUGGGGGUGACCGCGGCCCCGCGCGCGCGUAGGCGAGGAGAGAGAGAGAGAGAGAGAGAGAGAGAGAGAGCCGGGGGGGAAGUCUCGGAGGUGGGGAGAGGGCAGAAGAGAGGAAGAGAGAGUGAGGAGGUAAGGGAGAGAGCGAGGAGCGGGGGGGGAGUCCUGCCAUGUGCGGGUUGACCGCACCCCGCGCCGCGCAAGAGAGUUCUUCCUCUUCUCCCCCCCCUCCCCCCCCCACCCCUUCUCUUUCCUCUCUUAUUACUAUCCCUCCCCCCCGCCCCCCCCCCCCCCCCCCAAUCCUUGCCGGCUCUUCUCUUUCUCUCGUCUUAUCUCUUCCCCUCUUCUCUCUCGGUCUCUCUCUCUCUUCCCAGCAUGCGAGGAGCGGCUGUGGGCGGGUGGGCGCUAGGCGCUGGGGGCGGGCGCAGUGCGCGAGCGGGGCGGCGGUCGACCACUCACUCACUCUCUUCAUCUCUCCGUUUUCUUUUCUUUUUUUUAACCGGCGUCGGCCGGUCGACGCAUGGAUGGGAGCUUCCGAGCGGUGGAGGAGGGAGACGUAUCCGCGAGCGAGGAGAGGGGAGGGCGAUUUCUCUCGUGUAAUCAGAUGCGUUAUUGUCACAGGUGUGCGGCAGGAUCAGUGUGCGAGGUUGAUUUCGAAGAACCAGGUUCACCACGUAAUCUUUGGACCUAGGGUGUAUGUGGGCCUCGGGCGGGGACGACCACAUUUCGAGCCCGAACCGAGCUUGGGAGAGUGGCCGGGCCCUGCCCGUGGCUAAAUCGGGAGAGCCGUGCGGGCCGAAAUCCCACAUUCGGCCAGCACGGCCCUGGCCGGAAUGCAGGGCCGUGCUCCGGGCCGGCUCCUUUUUUUAUUUUUUUAAAAAUGUACAUAUAAUUUAAAAAAAUAUAAACAAUAAAUUAUAUUUAUAUAAACUGAUAUUUUGAUUAAAAAAUUUAAAAUUUAUAAAAAUAAUUACAAAAAAUAAAUAUUUAAAUUUAUUUAAUAUAUUUUUGUAUUCUUUUUUUGAAAAAAAAAAAAGUUGAGAAGGGUUUUUGGUCCAAUGGACCAAAAUUGCUUUGGUCCAUUAGACCAAAAUCACUCCUCUCAAGGUCUGCUAGGGAGAAGCUCUCCUUGGGAGGAGGGCCAAGCCCUCCACCCGAGGAGAGCAAACCCCAGGCCCAAGGCAAAGUUGCCUUGGGCCUGGGUCUGCUCUCCUGGGGAGGAGGGCUUGGCCCUCCUCCCAAGGAGAGCUCCUCCCAAGGUGUGCCGGGCCGGGCGGGCCACGUGCCGCCCGGCCCGUUUUACACCCCUAUUUCGAACACCAAAUUUUUCAACACUUCUUUUCGAUUUAAUUAAAUAAAUUUUUGCUCUUUUGGAUUUAAUUAGCUAAAUUUAUAUGAAAUUUAGAAUAAAAAGAGAACUAAAAAAGUGUUAAUAAAUUUAUGAAAAAUUAAAAUUAAAUUCAAUUUAUUCAUGGGUAAAAAGGUGAAGAUCGGCCUGAUAUUAUUAGGAGGGUAUUUAAGCUAAAAUUGAAAGCCUUAAUGGAUGAUAUAAAAAAAACCAAUAUUUUGAUAAAUUAGUUGCUGGUAUGUUAUUAUAGAAUUUAUGCUGGCCUUAACUUUAUAAUUUUCUUUUCAAAUUCGCACAGCUAACUUUUUUUUUUCUGUCAUUUAACCGCAAAGUCUCGGAUACCAACUAUCAAGUCUUUUGCCACCUGCGUUAGGAACGAUCGGUACUUUUCGGGUACUUAUUUGUGCCCUUUCAUACCAUUUGGGACGCAUAUGAUUAAGCUGUAUCUGUUUUUCAAACCAAUAAAUAAGAGUACUGCUGGAAUAUUAGAAAAAUCAAAGAGUUAACAAUGUCAAAAGAUAUGUAUAACUAAAUCAAAAUAGCGGAGAAAAUUCAAAAUAUUGAGUUAAGCAAAUUUGUGGCUCCUAUCAUUGUACACAAUUUAGUCAAAAAAACAUGCAUCACACGUGGUUUUGAAUUUGGCUCCCUUAACUUUUUUUUUUUUUUUAUUUGAUCUGCACCCUCUUUACUUACUAUCAAUGGUUUGAUUUAGCUCCUUUCAUCAGCAAUUUUUUCGUUAACAAUUUUAAAAAUUUUAUUAGAACCACAAUAAAUGCCUACGAGAAAUGGACGUUAUCUCCUCUAGAAUUGGCAGUUCCUCCUUCACCGUUGCCUUCUUUCCUUUUCCGCUCCGUGAUGCUUCGCCUUUUCAUUUUUAUUUUCGCCCGAUGCUUCCUCUUCCCGCCUGUCAACUCUUCAAUUAAUGCGUUCACAUGAUCUAUUGUCAUCUAAAAAUCUCGCUUUCACAACAAAAAAAAAGUAAAAUAAAAUCUCUUCAUACUUUUUUUUUUCAUACUAUUUGUAUUUAUUAAUGUCUCAUGGCAAGUCAAAAAACUUUAAAUUUUUUAUUUUAUCAAUCUCUUGUAUUUUAUAAUAUUAGCCCACUGUAAUGCACGAAUAAUUUUAUUAUAUCAUAAAACCUAAAUCCUACUCAUCUAGGAUGACAGGGUACAUUUAAGUGGAGUACCCAAAAUAUUUCUCUUAUUAAAAUCUUACCCCCAUAAUAUACUGAAUCAUUUCCCUUAUCCCUCGCACCAAUCUACAAAAUAAAAAAAUAUAUAUUUAUAUCAGCGUCUAAAACUUAGCUAGAAUGAAAAAUAAUUCUAAUUUAAUUUAAUUGGAUUGUAUAUUUUACCUUAAUUACUAAAAUUAAAAUUUUACUGUUUUAAAUUUUAGAUUUUAGUUUCUACAUUUAAGAUUUUAAAUUUUAUACUCAAAUUAUGAAUGCUAACAGUUUAAAAAUUAUAUAUAUUAAUUUACUGAAAUAUUAUCUACCCGUCUGCUCCCCGGGUUUGGGGGGCACUGUGAGUCCCACUUUUUAAAAAAAAUUUAAAUAAUAUAAAAUGUUGAAGUUUAAAAUUUAAAAUUAGAUUUAAAAAUUAAAAAAUUUAAACUUAAAUUUAAAAAUUUAAAUGAUAAUAACGGAAACAUAGGAAUAUAUAUUUUUAUAUAUUUUUAUCCCAACUUUGGUAAAUAAUAUUAAAUAAUUUAUUCAAAAUAUUUUAAAAAUUGCGUAAAUUUACCGCCGUGAAGCGCGGGCCUUCACUAGUGUAAUUGAUUGUAGACACCAUAUUAGCCAUGUAAGAGUCGCAUUUUAGAUUUUUUCGUAGCUUUCACGCUCUACAAAGUACGUAUCAACAUGUUUGAUAUACUGUAAAUAAAUUAAAUUAUUUAUUUUCUUACUGUUUUUAUUGAUAGCCCGUUUGAAUUUGUAAACAGUCAGUAUCGUUAAAUAUAAUUUAGAUUAUAUAUAUGCCUUAAAAAUUAAAAUAUAUAAAUUUUUAACAUUACUUGUUUGGUAUUUAGGGCUCGUUUGAUUUAUCUAUUUUAGACUAUGGAAUCGGAAUAAAAUUUAUUAAUUUCGAUUGUUGUUGUUUGUUUUAUAAGAAUCAAAUUCCGAGUUCUAUUUUACUUCAGAAUAGAAAUGAUUUAAUCUAUUUAUAGUCCAAUUCGGCUUUGAAUUUCAGAUUAGCUCAUUUCAAACUAAAUUGUUCAAAACUUUUCAUGACAGACACCUUAUUCUUUUCUCUCAUCAUCACUUUCCUCUAUCAUAAUCAGAACUCUCUCUCAAUGUUCAUUUUGAUUUCUAUCACAAUAAUAAGUCAAACAUUUUGUAGCUGAAGAAUAGAAAGUAAUGAUAGAAUAUAUAUUUAAAUGAGAAAAGUAGUCAGUUCCAGAAGGAUAAUAAUUUAACGAUGCAGUAACAAAAUUUAACUCUAGAAAAUAUAUCUAUAAGAGCUUGAAAUUUUAUAAGAGGAUAGCUUUUAUAUUUGCCUUCUAAAAAAAAUACAUAUAAAAGUCAAAAAUUUUAUUGGAGUAUAUAAAUAAUUGGCCCAAAAAAAAAAAAAAAUCCACAUUCUAAGGAUAACAAAGGUGAUAUACAAAACAUAUUCUCUUCCCAAGAAGUAGAUUUUCCUUUUUUUUUUUUUUUCGUGUUGUCUUAUCACUUAUUAGGAUAACACAGGUGCAUGAUAAUAUUUUUUUUACUAUUAUCAUCAAUACAUAUAAUAAAAGGCGAACUCUAAACCCGCCACGCGUCGUCUCCACGGCGACCCCCUCCCUGCUCAGUUCUCCCGCUUUCUUCGCUGGGCUCUCUCACUCACUCUCUCUCUCUCUCUCUCUCUGCUCGCGUGCCCCGCGAGAGGGGACCGCACACAUGGCAGCCCCCCCCCCCGGCUCUCUCCCUCCCUCUCCUCCUCCCUCCCCGGCUCCCUCCUCCUCUACUGUGGUCCUCCCUCCGAUCCCUUCUCUCUUCGAUCCGCCUCGCAUCCUAUUCGCGGGCGCGGGCCCCCGCGCCCUCUCCCUAGUGCUCGCAUCCUAUUCGCGGGCGCGGGGGCAGGCGUGAGCGGGCGCAGGUGCGAGCGGGUGCGGGCGAGCGGGCUCGGGCGCGGGCACGGGCGGCGCGCGGGAGGGAGCCGGGGCGCGAGCGGGUGCCCGGCGCGGGUCGGUCGCAGGGCCCCGGGCGCGGGUCGGACGCAGGGCACGGGCGCGGGUCGGACGCAGAGGGCAGCACGUGCGAGCGCGGCACGGGCGGGCAGCUCUCCCUUCCCCCCUUCCCCGACCCCUCUCUGGAGAAACAUAAGUUAACAAACAACUGAGACUGAUUGUUUUUAGUGUAAUCCUUUCCUCAGUCUCUAUCUCUUGCACUCCAAGUGUUUGUGAAUUGCCUCUGCAGUGGUGAAGUAGCUGUGGUCUGAGCUUAUUAUCUGGAGGAUUAAUGCUUUUAUCUUUCAUAGCUGAAUCGGUGGCGUCAGCGAUCAUCGAGGCGUGCCCGGCGGCUGGCGGCAUGUAGGAAAAUCCUCCUAGAUUUGGAGAAAUUCAGAAGCUGGCUUAUCAAAAACCUCGAAAUUACUACGUAAAUGGAUCGAUCGGGGAUCGAGCACUUCCUUCGAUCUCUUCUCCGCAUUCGUUUGGGGCCUCGAAGGGAGCUUCACACGUAGAAGCGUUUGCUUAUNCGCCGUCGAAAGCAGUCCCCCGCGAGCCGGGCUCGACGCCGCCGCGAUCGCCUCCUUCCCUUCGUUCCCUUACCGCCUCACCGCCGUCGGCCCCGCCGCGACGACGACCACUCGCGGCGAGUGCGCGGUGUGUUUAGGCGCGUUCGCGGGGGGAGAGAUGCUGCGGCGGCUGCUGCCGUGCGGGCACGUCUUUCACGUGGCGUGCGUCGACGCGUGGCUCCGGUGGAGCUCGUCCUGCCCGGUGUGUCGGACUGUGGCGGACCCCAAGCCGCUGCCGCCUGCCGUGACGGUGCAAGAAAACGUGGUGCCGCCGCCGCCUUCGCAGCCCUCGACGUCGGAAGAGAAGGGAGACGUGCUGUAGUCGGGUUCGAAUCGUCGUUAGGCAGAUGAUGAGCAGAGAAUGCAUGGGAAGGAAAUGGAAGAUUUAGAGAGGCGGCAAGAGUGCUUGUGUGUGCGUGUGUGUUUUUUUUUUGGUUUUUUUCCAUAAAUUUGUUAUUUAAAAUAUAUAUUAUUGGUAUGUAUGGUGUAAUUUUUUUUUUUUUUUUUUGAGAAAAAGAUAACGCGCAACCUGCAGUGUAAUAUUUCUUAUGGUUAAUUUUAUGCAGUUUCCUACAAAUACAGUGAAUUAUAAAUAUAUCUUUACAAAGUUCAACUUUCAUAAAUUAUUUAUAGAAAAUUUUUAAUACUUUCAAAUAUAUAUAUAUAUAUAUAUUCCUCUAAUUUGUUACUAUUAAAAUACUGUUUAUUUUAUAAGUGAAAAUGAACUUUUUGCCAUUACAAAUAUGUCUCUUAAAAAGUUGAGUAAAAAGGUCAAUUCACCUCAUUAACCAAUUAGGAUUAGAUAUUUUAUCUAUGAUUAACUAAUUUUUUUCUAACGGAUCUUAACGGUAGGAAUAUAUUUGAAAAUAUUAGGACUUUUGUAGGAACAACAUAUGAAAGUAAACUUUGUAGGGAUAUAAUUGUAAUUCACUAUAUUUGUAGGGACCUUUUUGAAAUUAACCCUAUUUUUUAUUGUGAUUUACUAAUUACUUAUAUAAUUUUGUAUAUAUAAAAAAUAUUUGCCUGUUUAUAUUUACAGGCUUUGAAUAUAUAUAUAUAAUAAACCUAUAAUAAUAAUUUUUUUUUAAAGAAAUCUAAACCAAUUUGCCCUUAAAUCUUUUUUUUUUUUUUCCUUUUUUUAAUUUUUUUGAAUUUUAAUGCUCAGUAGCAAAUAGCAAAUUUUCUUGUGAGAUUGUGAAAGAGAGUAGCGUCAGAGAAUUGAAGUGGCAAAUAGUGGCAAAAGUCAAAGUCUCCGAGUCAACUUCGAGUCAACUAUUUGUAAGAUAUGAACCUGUCAUUUUUACCCCCCUAAAAUAUCGGUGUCAUAUUGAGGCCCAUUUGGCGCGUUAUUAGACAAAAUAAAAUUAAAUCAAAAUAAAUAAAAAUUUAUAUUUUUAUUUUAUAAAAAUUAUAUAUAUUAUAACCGACUCAUUGUAAUAUAUAUGCAAAUAAGAUAUUUUCUUAUCAUAUAUAACACAAUCUUCUUAUAAUUAUAAAUAAAAUAGCAUUUUUAAUAUUUACAAAUUUAACGAUUCUUAUUGCACGCGGUGGAAUUUGGAUGAUAUUUGAUGGUGACAAUCUAAAAAAAUAAUUUUUUUGAAAGUCAAUAAAAGCAUUUUGAUCCACCAUGGGUAAAUUGAAUAUUUUUAAAUUUUCGAAAGGUAGAUUCACUACAACAAAAACGGUCUAUAGCGAUACUUUUAAAUGUAGGUACAUGUCAAAAAAGUGCUGUUAGCUAAAAUUACCGACACUUUUAAAAAGUGUUGCUAUAUGUGGGGUCGCUAGGUAUAUAGUGACAGUUAAAGAGUGUCGCUAUAACCUAAAAAAGUGCUGCUAAUUUACCAACACUUAUUUAAGCAUUUAGCAACCGUCGAAACUUUAUCUCGUUGGCUGUGGUGGCGGAGGAGGACGACAGUAAAGGCUCUUCGUCUAGAAUUUCAGUGGAUUGAGUGAAGAGAGAAGAAAAGAUGGUAAUUGAUUUUUCUUUUUUUUUUCUUUUCUGUUUGUAAUCGGGCCAAAUGGACUGGAUGUGGUGGGUUGAGUAGAGUAAUCUUUUAUUUUUUGUUGGAUUAGGCUUUAUAUUUAGACAUUAGUAGAUGUGUUUUUAAGUUUUAGCAUAAAUGGGACACUUACUCAAAAGUGUCCCAAACAUAUGUCCCUAUAACCUAAUUCUGUUGUAGUGAUUAGAUAUUAUUUUUAAAUAUUACUAAGUAAAAUUAAUUAGUUUAAUUUCAGCAGGCGGCGAGGGGCCCGGCAUCGGCGGUGGUGGCUGAGAAAGGACUGGGGGUGAGUUAUGCACGGGUCGUGGAGGCGGCGGCGCUGCGGAGAGGAGCGACGGUGGAGGAAGCGAGGGCGGCGGUGAUGGUAGCGGAUGAGGAGGGGGCAGGCGGAGGAGGAUGCCGGCAAACCGGGGGUCCGGGGACCCAAAAAAUUUCAAUUUGUCCUGCUAUGGUUUAGCGCAUUUUCAGUUUAACGCCCUUUGAUUUUACUUGCUGUUAAAAUCUGCUAUUAAGUAUACAUGUAGUAAACUAAUAUAUUUUAUAAACCUUAUGACAGCAAAUUGUAAAUUUGUAUUUUCAUAUAGCCACCCUGUGAUUUGUAAAAUAAAUUAAUUUAGUAUCAUACUUAACGGCAGUAUUAAUAGCAACAUAAACAUAAAACCACAGGGCAACAAAGUGAGACAGUUCAAACCAUAGUGUACCAAACUAAAAAUGUGCUAAACUACAAGGGGUAAAAUAGAGUUCUCCCUAAUUUUUUUUUUUUUUUUUAGGAGAGAGUAUAUUUGUACCAUACUUUAUUAUCUUAUGAUGCAUCCAAAGAGAACCUUGUUUUAUUGGCAGUGGUAUUACCAGGUAUUCAUCGUGUGCGUAUAUCUAAGUAAACGAGCAGUCCACAAAAAGUAGAAAAAGGGAAUCACAUUUCUCUUCAUAGAAUUUUGUUCGAAUUUAUUAAAUUUUUUUUAGUUGAUUUAAACCUUAAAAUAUUUUAAAAAAAGAGAUAAUUGUCUAUAAAUCUCUCAAAACUUCAAAAAUAUCUAAUUUACUCUUACUUUUAUUUUUUGUUUCCAGUAUAUCCUUCAUAUGUUAUUCCGUUAUUCAAAAAUACUCCCGCAGUUAUCACCCGUUAAAUUAUCUCGGGGUAAACAUGAGUUAAAUGUCUAUCAGAGUUUUAAAAAAUCAAUAUACCUAUUUUGCCCUUAAGUUAAGGGCAAAUAACAGAAGUUGGUGAUGGUAGAAAAAUAUAUUCGAAAAAAUCAAAAAUUAAAAUACAUCUUAUGGGCAAAUUAGAAAAGUUGGUGAUGGUAGAAGGGUAUAUUUGAAGGGGCAAAAUAGUAAUUUCACAGAUAUAACAACUACUGCUAACAAUUCACUAACAAAAGUUUAACUCUAUAUAGGUCCGUAUAUUGAAAAUAACUUGGAACGUAAAAAAAAAUAUUUUUAAUAUUAGCCUUCUAACGGGGGUAAAUCAGAAAAUCGAAAGCUUUUUAAGGGUAUAUAAGCAAUUGUCCCUUAAAAGAAUAUAAGGGGUUGUUUGGUUGGAUGCAGUUAUCAAAAAUAGUAUACUUGGAAUUAUAUGUAGUUACAAAUGUUGCAGUCAUAAUUACACCUAGUUUGUUUGGUUUUAUGCAGUUGUAACUGCUACGGUUACAUUUCUUCUAUUUGGUAGGCUGCAGUUGAGAUUUGUAUUUAUAAAUUCUGUCAAUUUUUAGAUAGAAAUAUGAGAUUACCUCUUCUGAACAUACCAUAAUUAUGAGAUCUUUUAAUUAUUGAUUAAGACUUUUAUAUCUAUAUAUAAUUUAUAUAUUAUAAAAUUAUAUAUGAAUUUAAUGAAUUUUAAAUACAAAUACAUUAUAAAUUUAGUCAAAAAAAAAUUAAGGUAUUAUUGAACUAGCAAAUUGGAAAAAAAUGCAGCGUAUGAAAAAAAAAAAAUUAUUGAACCUUAUCAUACAUUAUUAAAUCCUAGUAGAUUUCGUGAUUAGGUAUUCUUGAAAAAAAAAUUAAAAAAAGAAGCGUAUUAAAAAAANUUUUAUAUCUAUAUAUAAUUUAUAUAUUAUAAAAUUAUGUAUGAAUUUAAUAAAUUUUAAAUACAGAUAUAUUAUAAAUUUGGUCAAAACAAAAAUUAAUGCAUUAUUGAACUAGCAGACUAGAAAAAAAUAAAGCGCAUGAAAAAAAAAAUUAUUGAACCCUAACAGACAUUAUUAAGACCGAGCAGAUUUCAUGAAUAGGUAUUUUUAGGAAAAAAAAAAAGUUAAAAAAAGAAGCGUAUAAAACAAAUUUAUUGAACCCUAAUAGAUGUUAUUUAAAUCAUAGUAGAUUUCAUGAAUAGGUAUUCUCGGAAAAAAAAAAAAAAAAAAGUUGAAAAAGGAAGCGAAUGAAAAAAAAAUCAUCACACUUUUUUUUUUUUUUAAUGAGUGAGCCAACUCCGGCCCAAUUGCUGCAGUUGGACCUUCUCGUGCAGAUGCAACUGCAGCCGUUGAGCCUAACUACACCAAACCAAAUUAAAACUUAAUAGAUGCAUGCAUUUUCAACUACAAUGUAGUUGGAGAUGAAUGCAACCAAACAGCCCCUAAAUGUUUUUCAAAAUAAAAAUGAGUUUUGGGCCCCCAUAACCCCUCCUGGAGAUGUGGGCCAUUAUUGGCCGAAAGGUUUGAGCGCAGUUUAGGACAGCUAAAAGUUUCACUUACACUCUGUUUGGAUCUUUGUUAGUUAAUUCGCAAAUUAUUCACGAAUUAUUGAAAAUUCGAAUUAAACAAUUCUUUUACGAAUUUUUUUCAAAGAAAAUAAAUUAUUCGCGAACUUUUGGGCCAGCCGAAUAAUUCACAAAUUAUUCGCGAAUUAUUCCCGAAUUAUUAAAAAUCUGAAUAAAAAAUUUAUAAUUUUUAUAUUUAAAUAUAGAUUAUCUUAUAUUUUAUAUUUUAUAUCGAAUCUGUUUUUUAAGCCGAAUUUUUCAACGAAUUUAAAAAUUAGAAAAUAAAUUUUAUGCGUAUUAUACCCGUACCGAAUUUUGCCGAAUCCGUAUUAACUAUGGUACUUUGGAUAGAGAGAAAAGAAGAAAAAAGAAAGACGGGCGAAAAAAAAGUUAUGAGAGAACAAUAAUAUUCUUUGGUUUGAAUUAAAACUUGAAACUAGAAUUGAAAAAAAAAAAAAAAAUUGGAGAAAAACGGAGAGAAAACGACCUUCCAUAAUAGUUUAUCUUUUCUCUCUCCAAAAGUGGAGAAAAAAUGUAGAGAAAGAAUGAGAGAGUUAUUUUUACUUUUUUUUUUUUCUUUCUUCAAUUGGAACAAAGUGAUAGAAAAGUGCAACUUUUUUCUUUUCUUUUCUUUUCUCUCACUUUCUUUUCUCUUGUUUUCUAUUAAGGGGUGUUUGGUUUCGCAAAAAAGCAAGGGAAACUAAUUUUUGAAAAGAAAAAGUUUUUUAUUAAAAUCCUUUUUUACCAUUUUGUUUUCCAAAUAAAAAAAUGGAAAACAAAACCACUAUUCUUUUAUGAAAUAUGAACAAAUUUUUUAAAAAAAAACUUUUUUCCCUUGAAAUAAACGAAUUAAAAAUUUAUUUUCAGCCAGAAAAUUGGAAUAUUUUUUAAGAAACCAAACUCUCUCUCUCUCUCUCUCUCUCUCUCUCUCCAUCUAAAUGAAACCUAAGUAAAAAAAUUAAUAAAUUUCUCAUAUAGCAAAAAGUGUUUUUAUCAACUAUAAUAGCAGUUAACUCAAGCUAAUCAAUAUUUUAAACACUGGAGUACUUUAAAGCAAUUAUUAAGUUUUGAACAAUUUAUCAGGUAUUGGACUUCCCCCAGCUUAUUUAUCAAAAAAAAAAAAGAAAAAAAGAAAAAAAGGUUUUAACUAACUUAAAAAAGUGUAGGGGCUUUGUCUAGAUCUUUUGAUAAAAGCUUGUAAUGUGGAAGGGUUUUGGUACAACAGGAAUUAAAGUCUUAGAGAGGACCACAUACAUCAAUAAUUUGUACCUUUUUGUUGCAACAAAUAUCCUGCAUCCAAACUAUGAAGCUCCACCACAAGUUUAGUUAGUACACAAAUCAACAACAAAGCACAAAAUGUUGCUUUCUAAAUUGAAUGCCACUCCUUGCUUUGCUAGUGUAAAAUGUAGUUUUGCCCCAUUUCUUAUUAAAUUGAUCUUUUGAGUAAUACUGUAUUAGCAAUGUUAAGGGAAUCGAAUUGGACCGGCACGUUCAGCCAAGUUAAUCGAAAACUAGUUUGAUAUCCAUAUCCAAUAACCAAGUGGCCCUGAACCGGUUAAUUUGGAUUUGGUUUUCUUUUUUAACCUGUUUGAAUUAUUCCAAAAAAUAAAAUGCAAACACCUUCAAUAUUUAAUUGGUAACACUUAGGAAGAUGGUUACACAAUCGUUAGUAAUCAGUGUAAGAACACAUAUGAAACUUGAAUUGACCUGUGGCGUAAUUUUUGUUAUAACUUUUUUAUAGUAGAAACUAAAUCCAAGCGUUCGACAGUGAAACAGCAUAGAAUAGACAACUUAACAACUGGAUAUAGCUGAGAUUUGCUUCUUGUAUCUAAAAGCAAAAGUUUUAUUUUGAAACUAUCAUUUUUAUCAACAGUGAAAAGCUCUUGGAGUCUUUUAAAACAACUCACAUUAGAAUAAUACUUGUGCAGGAUCAAACAUCCCCCUAUAUAUGAAAGAGAAAAAGGCAACAUAUGUAAUAUAUCAAGCUCACCAAAUAAUUGAUGGCUUCUAUCAACAACUAGUGUUUUAGAUUCUCUACUGUGUUUCACAGAUAAUGUAAUGCCCAGCUGGAUCUCCUAUCACUUUCUCUGAAUAAAGAGAGAGUGAGAGAGAAAAAAAAAAAAAAAAAAGGUGGUGAUUCCCAUUGAGGAAGCUCCCACCAAGGUUCCUCAACCUAAAGCAGUAUUUCUUUUUACUAUUUUGAGAGAAAGCCAAUAUGUGGAAAAGCAAAAAAUAGUAUAUGCAAAAGGGAGCCAAUUGAAGCACAUAGAAGGAAACAAGUAGCAUUAGAAAAUAAGAGACAAAUUAAUCACUGAUAAUAAAGUGUUAAAGAUGUAGGCCACUUUGAAAUAGCCACUGAACUUCUUCUUCUUCUUCUUUUUUAUAAUUUAAUUGGCUUUUUCUUAAGUUUUAUAUAUAUUUUUUAUUUUAGUUGUUUUGGUUAUUUGAAUGGAGAGAUUUUACUAAAAUUAAUAGCUCCAUUUAUUUAAUAUUGGUCAUUAAUUACUAACAAAAAAAAAUAAAACUAUAAACUUUUAAAGGACAACUGAUUAUUUCAGCAAAAUCUCUAAUUCAAUUGACUGAUAUAGCUCAAAUUCAAACAAAUGGAAAUUGGCGGUACUAGAUAUAAUAAUGAAAGAAAAAAAUAAUAUUCGUAUAUCUAUUUUAAAUGGCCCUGUAGUUGAAGGGGUGCAUUUUUUUAACUACAAUAUAGAAAAUCAUCCUAUAAAUACAUUUUCUUAUUUACUUUUUCCUUCUAACUUUCAGAAAAAUACAUCUUGCACCUUUAAAAUUUCAGAAAUGCUUUCAAUUAUUCUUACUUAUUCUAUAAAAAAGUAUAAUUUUAAGUAUAUUUUCAUUAUUUUUAAGAAUAUUUUUGAUUAAAUUAUAAAAAAUAAAUAGAAUAGUGACGAAACCUAGAUGGAUGGGGACUAAAUAAAUCAAUCAAUUUGAAAUUUUAAGAGUGUAAAAAUAUAAUUUUUUAAAGUGAAAAAAAGGAAAAUAUAGAUAUUUACAGGAAUUUUUUUUUAUAGUGUAAUUUAUUUUUUUAACCAAAUAAAACAACACAGUAAAAAAAAAAAAAAGAAAAAAAGAAGAAAAAAAGAAAAAAAGAAGAAGCAACUUUACUUAUUUUCCUUCAAUUAUGUCACUGUUCAAACAGGAUCUUUGGCUAGUGAGCUAACAGUAGAAAGUGGGUGCCAAGUUGGCAAUGUGAUGUGCCACUAUGCAGUGAAAGAGACCCAUCCUAAGCAUCUUCAAAUGGGAUGGAGAUGUGCAACCAUGGAGCCAUGAUGAUAAGUUACCUUUUUUUCUGCAACUCUUUGCUGUCUCAGGAAGCUGAAGCAUCAACUCAAAAAGGGUCUUAAGCAGCAUCAGGCACAAAACAUAAUAUGACUGAGAAGGGAAUGGAAAGACACCCACCAUUCAUUCCCAAAUUAGAGAGUAGUAGAGCUACCACUACUAAUAACAACAGCUGCUGCAAAAGUGCCUGGCUUUUUUAAGUGGAUUUUUCUCCAUUAUUCUCUUCUGCAUUGCCCAUUCUUGGUAGAGAGCUUUUAUUGCUUCUAUUUUGCCCUGGACAUGCAUGACAUGUCCACAAGGAAUCUGUUCCUACAUUUAUAACCAAUCUUGAAGUGACUUAAAGCUAGAAUCUAUGUAUCUUCCAGUUCCUCUACCAUACAAGUAAAGAAAAAAGAGCAAGAAACUAAAUACUUUUUCAGCUAAAGUACUGGAAGGUUAAAAUGAGCUUUUUAUCAUGUAUAUAUAUAUAUAUAUGCAUCUAUUUUGUACUUUAAUGUUAUUGAAUAAAAAAUAAAAUAAAACAAGAGAUAAUUGUCUAGGUAUUCCUAAAAAGUUAUAAAGUUUCAUAUAUAUUUAUCCGUUGUUUCAAAUAUACUCUUGAAAAGUUUCUCCGUUGUCCUUGUAAUAUAUAUAUAUAUAUAUAUAUAUAUAUAAUAUACACCCCUACUUUGAGAAUUUACUUAAAAAGUCUUUAGAAUUUUAGAUAAAUAUAAAAGUCGGAAAGCCUUUUAUAUAUAUAUAUAUAUAUAUAUGAACAUCUUAAAUUACUCAAAUAACAGUUCUACAGAAAAACCAAAUAAAGUUAACAUUAUGUUAACCCUCAAUAGCUACAUAGACAUUUGCAACAACUAACACAGCAAAAGAGAGAGAGAAGAGAAAACAAAAAAAAAAAAAAACAUGAGAUGAACAAUCCACCUUAGAAAAUUAACCUAAGAACAAAUUUAAAAGGUUAAACACAUUACAAUGGCCUUUUAGCCAUGAGAGAGUGGCCAUCACCUGCUUAUUGGUGAGCAUCAGAAGCGAGCUUCUCCCGAAAGCUGCCGCCGCCGCCGUCGCCGCGAAUUUGCGUGGGUACGCGGAACCCCGCGAAUGCGGCCGCCGCCUCCUCCGACGGUUCGUGGGCGGGUCCCGGGCCGAACCAGCAGGUGCGAAUGGAGGACGGAUCACUGGACUGAAGGGAAUCCCUACGAGCAAAGUCGAACAUGUAAUCUCCGCCGCCGCCGCCGCUGCCGCCGCCGCUGUUGUGAGAGUGGUGGAAAUUCGGCGCUUGCAGAGAGUGGAGGGAGAGAUGGAGAUUCUGGUCGUGGGCAGUCUGGCUGCUGCUGCUGCUGCGAGAGAGGAGGUCGGGCGGGUAAUUCUGGUAGAUGUUGGAGUUGGAGCACGGAGGAGGAGUGGCGGCAGCAAUUCCGAUCGGGAAGAAGGCUUUGAUGGUGUCGGCGAUGGCGUCGGCGUCGAGGGAGUGGUGGUGGUGGUGGUGCUGCUGCAGGAGGGCGAUGGCGAAGUCGUCGGAAUUAGCGGCGGCAGGCGGGAGCGGCGGCGCGGGGUGGGGGAGAGGAGGGAUGGGUGCUGGUGCGGGCGCGUGUCCGGCGGGUACGGGGAGGCGGAGGAGGAGGAGACUCCGUCGAUGGCGGGCUGGGCGUUCUUGAGCAGCCAGUCGAGCGGUCCUUCUGGGGCGGUCGGUCGAAGCCGAGGCGGUCCUGCCACGUCGUAGAACUGGAUGGCGGUGUGGCGGCGACAGCCGACGCGGCGGUCGCGGAGGCCGCGCGCCGUGCAGACUUUGCUGUGCCGGUCCUCCGCCCGCCGCCGGCCGCACAUGUGCGCCCCCUGCCCGCCCCCUCUACCCCAUCCCCACCCCCGCGCGCCGCCGCGCCGCCGCGACGACGGAGAUACUGCUGCUGCUGCUGGUAGUAGUAGUGGUCGCUUCUCUCUUCCAUCCAACGAAGUAAAAAUUUCGACGCUGAACAAGACGACGAGUCGGAGAAAAAAAAAAAAAAGAAAGAAAACAAAAAAACUACUACUACAUAAAAUUAAACUUUACAUGGGGGAAGAAGGAGGAGGAAAAAAAAGAGAGAGGGAGGGAUGCUGGGAUGGGAGCAGGCGGCGCAGACAGACAAGAGUCAGAACUCAGAGGGCAGAGAUUUUGGUGUGCUCUCCGGCUGCUGUUUGGCCUUCCCCACACACCUCAAUAAUUUAAAGGGCAUAUGCUAUGCGCACCCAAGAAAUGACAUCUUUUUAUAAAAAAAAAAAAGACUUAAGCCAUGUUUAUGCAUGCAUAGUUAAAAAAUUCUAUAAAAUUUUUAUAUAAAAAAAAUCUCACAGUUUCAUUUCUAAUCUGUUUGGAUAUAUUUAUCGUACAAUUUUACAGAACUUAUAACAAUUUGAAGUUAAAAUUUAAAAUUUAAAUUAAAGUUAAAUUUAAAAAAUUAAAAUUAAAAUUUAAAAUUUUAAAAUUUGAAAUCGAAAGUCUAGGUUGAAAUUUAAAAUUUCAUGUUGAAAUUUUAAAUUUAGAAUUAAAUACAUCUUUUGGGUAGGGGAGCCCAAAAAUUAAUGGUGAAAAUUUUUUUUUCCUUUGGUUAGAAUGGAUCUAUUGUAGUUUUAGCGGGAGUAUAGUACUAUAACUAUGCUCCAAAAAAUUUUUUUUUUUUCUCGAAAUGAUUUAUAAGAUAAUUUUUCUACCAGCGUAAUAUAGUUUAAUUAUAGAGGCAUCCAAACAAGAUCUUAACUAUUCUAUACUUUUGUUUUUGUUUCAUCGGAAAAGUUUACUGUCAAUUUUGAAAAUCACAGAUCGAGUAGUAUACUGUUUAACAAUAAGUACUUUUAAGUUGGUUCAAAAUUUCAAUUUGUCAUCAUCUUUUAUAUAUAUAUAUAUAUAUAUAUAGUUUCACUUUUCUUUUCUUUUCUUUUUUUUUUUAUUUUGAGAGAUAGUAGCACGCUACCCGCUUCGUUUAUUUUAUUUAGAAAUAAACUUAGCUGGAAAUGUGAAUCAACUAGGGUUCGAAUUUGGGUUUCGGGUACCAAUCACCAAGUCCUUUGCCACUUGCUCUAGGGACGGUCCGUUAGUUUCACUUUUCUUUCGGUAUAAACACUUGCUUAUAAAUAUAGUAUGAUUUACAAACUGCAAGAUCUAUAUAUAUAGUACUUUACUAUUUUGUUAAGUAACGGUACAUCUUUGUGAUGGAAACAAAAGUAAAUCCACGGAUCCAAACAAAUUAAGGAAUGAUAAAGUAAAAUAUGGUUGAACUACAAUUAUUGGUGUAUUAGUAUGGAUAAUAUAAAGCAUGCAUUAAUUAUUGACGUAUUUAUAUGUAAAGAAACCAUAUAUGAUACAAAAAAUUAUAAUUUAUUUGUUCACCACUUUAGAAUAAAAGUUGGUCAAUAUAUUAAUUAUCUAGAGAAUCUUUUGUGAGGAUUGAAAGCAUAUCUAUUUAUUAGAUUAGGUGCUUUUAACCGAACAAUUUUAAGGAAUUAAAUGAAAACUCUCUCGAUGAUGUGUCUCUUUGUGUGAAACUACUACGACACCACGUGAUCCCAGAUGCAUUGGGGCCAAAAGUCAGACUCACAUGUAUGAUUACAUCAUUAUUGUCACAAUGAAGUGUAUCUUUGCUUCCGAAAUGUUUUUUUUUUUUUUUUUUUUUUUUUUUUUGAGAGAGAGAGAGAGAGAGAGAGAGAGAUAGGUAGCGCGCUACGCGCUUCGUUUUAUUUCAUUUAGAAAUAAAUUUAGCUGAAAAUAUGAAUCAACUAGGAUUCGAACUUGGGACUCGGAUACCAACCACCAAGUCCUUUGCCACUUACUCUAGGGACGGUCAGUUUUGCUUCCAAAAUGUUAUUGGAGAAACUCUCAGGCCCCAGUCCAGGGGAUAAGCGGCGAUAACGAAAGUUAUCCCCGCUAUUCCGUCAAACGGGAUGAUUUUUUACCGGAAUAUUUUAUCUCGAUCAAAUUUUGCUAUUUCCGGUUACUCCAGAAUAACAAGGAAUUUGCUAUUCCACCAUUUUGGUGGAAUAGUGCUAUUACAAUGCUUAAUUUCAAACUUAAUUAAAAUUAUAAAUUGAAUUAAAACUAAAUUAUAUAAAUAUAAUAUGUUAUAUAUUAUAAUAUAUUAAAAUUAUUAAUUGUACUAUAUUAAUACAUAUUAUUUAUAUUUAAAUAUUAUAAUAAAUUUUAUAAUAAAUUAUAUUUAAAUAUUAUAAUAAAUUCUUUUUAUUAAUUUAAGUUUAAGUAGAAUUUUAAAAAAAAUUUAUAAAUUUAUUAUAAUAAAUUAUUUUUAGUUUAAAUUGUUCCCACCCUAUUCUUAUUUUAAAUUUUAAAAUUUUAAAAAUUUAAAUUUUAAAAAUUUAUAAUUUGUAAUCUCAAAAUUAAAAUUUAUAAUUUUAAAUUCAAAAUUUUAAAUUUAAAUUUUGAUAUUUUAAAUUUUUGAAAUUUAAAAUUUGAUAUUUUGUAUUUUUCAAAUUUAAAUUUGAUCUUAAAUUUAAAGUUUGAAAUUUAAAAUUUAAAAUUUUGAAUUUAAAUUUUGUAAUUUUAAAUUUCAAAUUUUAAUUUCAAAUUUUGAAAUUUCAAAGCUAAAAUUUUAAAUUUCAAAAUAUAAAUUUAAAAAUUUAAAAAUUUAAAUUCAAAUAUAAUAACAGGAUAAUAUUAUUAUUUUUUAUUUAUAAAAACUUACUACCUGUAGUGUUUCUAAGCUUCGGAUAGGAUUGGCUUCAGUGUUAGUGACUGGUCGACACAUCUGGAGAGUGUCGGAUUGAGUCAAAGUUGUUUCUGCGCGAAAUGGAUACAGAAAUGGAUUCGUCACACUCAAAUAAGCAAAACUGAAGUUUUGCCAGAUUUGUGCACUCAGAACUGGUCUAGGGUCGCCCAAAAGUUGAGUGCAGAUUUGAUCAGAACUGGAAGCCAAUUCGGGUCCAUGUUUCGGGCGCCCGGAAGUAGGUCCGAAAAUUACACGUCGUGAGUAUCGUUUGCGCUGACACGUGGCUGGUGGUAGGUGAGGUCUGCCGGAGCCGUUUACGGGCGCAGCACACCGCGGGCGGAGGAAUCGAAGGGGAGCAUUUGUGCAGGCUGGAAGUUCUGGGCGCCUAGAACUAGGUUUAGGGUGCCCAGAUCUCGGAUUUUCUGCAAGGACAUCAUAUUACAACAAUUGUUCAUGAAGGUUAUCUGACCACUCCAACACCCUAUAAAUAUCUGGUAUACGCCCCUUUGCUGCUUUUUUCCUCCUUUCUUCACAGAGAAGUUCAUUUUAGCAUCUUAAACCCUCGGAUUGCCUCAAAUUGCAUCAAACUUUCAUUGAUUCAGCUUAGUAGAUGCUGAUCCUGCAGUUUUCCAGCGACGACCUUUGGUGUUUUGGCUCGUGUGCAACGUAGGAAGGUCGGAUCGCUGUAAAACUUGGUUUGCUGGAUUCCAGACUUCCAGAGGAAUCCACGAAGCCCAGAAUUGCAGAUUUCGGUUGAUGUUAGCUUGGUCGAACUGAGAUUUUUCUGAACUACUGUUGACUUUGAGCUGAAAAUGAGAUUUUUGAGCUUUUCUUGAUGCGAUCUUUGGAAGCAGGGGAAGUUUGGUCCUGAGCCUGAUAUCUUUGUGUAGUCUACUGGAUUUGAGACCAUCCUCACCAGAUUUGGAUGUGAUUAGGUGAGUUUUGAGAUUGAGAUUGAGCUAAAUUAGCUUAAGUGCUGAAAUUAGUGUAAAGUGAUGGUUUUUGUGAUUUUUGAUGUUCAAUCUUAGAUUGUGGACGCUCGCGGGCUGAGAGCAGGUGCGGCUAGUUCCGACAGGGUGUCCCGCAGCUGAGUGACCUUCUUGCUGUCAGGAAAUUGCUCUCGAGGUGGGUUUUCAUCGGUGUUACUCCUAAGCCCGUAUUAGUCGACAUGUGUGAUUUCAGCUUUUGGUAGAUCAUGUGUUAGCUCAAUUUCUUUGAUUAGAUCAUGUAUAAAAUCAAAAUUGAGAGCAUGAUUAAUAAUUCGAUAAAUAUGCAUAUUGGACUUGGAAUUGGACUUAGGAGAAAACCCGUGUUUUGACCCGUUAUAUGAUUCUACUACCUGAUUUAACUUUAGGAGCUGUGGUUUGAUUGUAUCACCGCUGUUUCAGCGCGGUGGAUAUCCGAGAUAGUUUAGAAUGCAUUUACGCUCAUUCUGCGACACCGAGCUUAUUUUUAUAGCAGAGUCUAGGCUGUUUCGGGUUGUCGGGUGCCGUCAGGGUGGACGGUGGACCCAGAUUCUUAUUUUUGGUCUCAGAUUAUGCCGAGGGCACGUGGAUUUGGCUUCUAGACCUGUUUUGACCCUAGCUAUUUGACUUUGGCUUGUUAGAGCUUGAUUGAGUUUGACAGAGAUACGCUGCAUACUCGGUUGGGUAGCUCCCACGAGUGCCACUCCGGAGGCGGGCACUGUGCUUUUGCGUUGGUGUCGUUCGUGCAAGUUGGACUUACUCUCUACGGAUUUGUUAGUGUGGAGGUAGCUGAUUAGUUGCAACCUGGCGGGACGGGUGUGUUCACAGCCCCAAGGACGGGUAUGAUUACAGUCCCUAUUCAAGAUUGGGUUUGAGUUGAUACUGUUCUACAGUUGGUUAGAUUAGAGCAUGAUAGUAUAGAGGCAGAUAGCUCUAGAUAUGUUCCAACUUUCCUUACUAUUUCUUGCUUACCCCUGUAGACUUAGUGGGUGGACCGAUGAGUUUGAGGGCGGUACCCACUGAGGACUACUUAUUUUUACAGUAGUUCUCACGCCCAGUUGUUACCAUUGUUUUGCAGAGCCAUCGUCUUCGACUGCUGCUGUCGCUGAUAUUGAUCGUGGCAAGGGCGUCGCGAGUCAGAGCCCUUCUAGUCGAGCUGCUGAGCUAGUGGAGAACCGCUGCAGGUAGUGUAGUUUUGGUUUAUACAUACAGAUGUUGUACUCUCGCCAGUGCGAGUGCUUUUGUAUCUUGGAUCUUAUGUAUGUAUAGAACCACAGUUUAUAUUUAUGGUUUAUUUUCUCCUAGCUGCUCUAUACUACUGUCUGUAGUAUUGUAUGAUUACAGGUACUUUUACUUUUCGCUUCGUAUACAGAGGAAAUAUCUAUGUAUACGGCGGGUCUGUUAGCGAGCCCGGGAAAACGAGUAAUCCGGGGCGUGACACUACCCUUCUUAUUCCAUCUUACCUAACCAAACGCUAUUUCUUUUUAUUUCCAGAAAUAACUCAAUUUUCAUCCAAACGCAAAAUUGAUCUAAUCACCGCUUAUACCUCAAUUUACAUCUAUAUUUGGAAUAGCUACUUUUUGCUUAUCCCCGAACCAAACGAUACCUAGGAGUCUUUGGCUCGGAAGGAAGAAUGGAAAUAAGUUCUUUCUCAUCGAAAACAAAUCAGCAGUAAAUCAAGCCGUUUGUUAUCGAUAGUAUUCUAAUAAAGGGCGCUCUCUCUCUCUCUCUCUCUAUAUAUAGAGCCGAACACGAGCAUAAUGAUCCAAACUAGCUCGUGUUCUAUUCAUUUAUUAAAUAAGCAAUCGAUCUCGAACUUAUUUUGAGCUGAAAAAGAGCUGGCUCUCGAACAUCAAACUAAAUCGCCAGUCCUAGAUUAUAUCUAAUUAGUUGUAUUAAAUAUUCCUAUAUAUAUUUUGUGAUCUAAAUUUACACUAUUGUAUAGAGUACAGUAGGACGUUGCGGCAGCUAACUUUCCGCGUCCGGAAAAUACUUCUCACAUGCGGCUUUUGGCCAAAAGAGAAGCAGCACCUCUGCAUGCUCACGCAUAUGGGAUCUGUGAAAUGCUCCAACAAUAAGUACCCUCAUUUUAAAUAAAUCUGUGUUUUGUUUCACCCAAUCUCCCGCGCGAAAGUUUCUCACCUUGUCAAACUGCAAGCGCGCAUGUUUGGAGGAGACUAGUAAUUAAACUUGAAUAGCGGAUACAGGGACCAGUUGGAAGCGUACGGUCUGCAAGCACCGACCCUGAUUUUUAUUUACGGCGCGAAAGCGCGAUUUCAUACGACACGAAAUUACAACCUCUGUAUGAUCUUCUGACCGAGGCAAAACAAACAGGCCCUUAGAUAUGGGAAUCGAAUUUAGAACCUCUUAAAAUGGAGGACGCUUAAGUGCAUGUGACUCUAACAUCCUAUCAUUCAAAAGAUCUAUCUAAUAAAGGACGAUUCAAGAUUAGUUUUAACAAUUGUAUAUUAUUCAGUAAUAACUUGUGCGUUAUAAGAAUUAUUACUAUUGCUGCUGCUGCUGCUGUUGUUGUUAUUGCCGCAAGUUAGGAGAUUAAACAGUUAUAAGUUUUUUGGCAAUGAAGAUUCAAUUUGGAUAGCAUAUUUCAUGAAUAUGAUAAUUUUUCAUAUUCUAAAAUAUUACUUAGAGGCUAAAUAAAUAUUGAUCAUACUUCUCAUCUGGUUGGAUCUAUUUAAUUUUGGAACAAAUUAUUCGGUGAUAACUUACACAUUAUGAAAUUUUUAUGUGUGAAUAUAAAUUAUCUUCCAAGGACUUAAUUAACGAUUAAUUAUGAGACGAUUUACCUUGUUUCAAACAAAUGCCUUGAAAAUUGAAUAUGUUAUAUAUAUAUUUCUAAAUACUGUGUCAUAAUGUGGCUGACAAAUUUAACUUAUACUUUCACAAAAUUAUAAAUUAACAAAUAAUUUAGGGUGACUCAAGUGUGUUGUUAUAAAUAAAACAAAUUUUACUAUUGACAAAAAUAUAUAAUAAAUUUAUCAUUAUACACUAAUUAAAGCCUAGCUUGCUUUAUAUUUUCGUCACUCGAUUUAUUAAGCAAAAAAAUUUAUAUAAUUUGUUGUCAUGGCGGAUGAAUUCUUUUACUAGCAUUUCUGUAUAGCAGAAUACUAAAAGACAUUUUUUUUAAUAAUAUAUAAAAAUAAAAAAAUUGUACUUAUUUUUUGUAUUUUGUUGCUAAAUAAAAUUUUCAGAUGUUUAAAUUAUAAGCACUAUAUACCAUCCACUCGCCCAAUCUUUACGUAUGAUUUGUGCUUUUUUCUUUUUUUUUUGUUUUUUUGGGAGAUGUAUGAUUUGUGCUUUAAAGUUAAUAAAAAUAGUAGCAAUACCAAAUAGUACCAAUAUUUGUAAGUUAAAAAUUUACUAAACUAAUUAAUAAUUCGGUAAUUAAACUACUGUAUAGAGAACACAACUGAACUAGAUGACUACUAACAGCUAAUUAAGAUAUGAAAUAAUUUUAAAAAAAAUUAACUCAACUAUAUAACUAUAAAUUUUAAGUAAAAAAAAUAGAAACUAAAGAAGAAUCAAUGAAGAAAUUAAAAAAAAAAAAUACACAAAGAUCCCCUGAACUUUAGCUCUUUUGCAAACAGACAUUUAAACUUUUAAUUUUGGUAAUAAACGCGCUAAACUUUAUCUAGAUUUCUCUUUUUAAUUGAAGUUAUUAAUUUCACAAUAAUUUUGGUUGCAUUAUUAUAACGUCUAGAAAUCAAAUUUAUAACUUUUCGACAUCAUUUACCUUGUGAUCAAAAGAUCACAAAAUUGAUAAUUUUUAACGGCCGGUAUGGAAUAUUUGCUAGUUCAAUGGUGUAAAAAAAUCGAAAUCGGUUAAAUUUUUGAUAGAAAAUUCUAUUUACUACAUAGAAAAAGAUCAAUAACUCCGAUCUUAAAUUGAAGGAUCUAAUUAUCCAUUUUUAAGACGUCGUUCGAUUUUAACCAUUCAUUUUAUACCGGCUUAAUAAACUUUAUUAUGAUUUCAAAAAAUUACGAAAUUUAUUUUCGACAAGUUUCAAAUACAAAAUUGACAAUUUUUAAUGGCCGGUAUAAGAUAUUUGCUAGUUUAAUGGUGUAAAAGAAUCGAAAUCGGUUAUAUUUUUGAUAGAAAAUUCUAUUCACUACAUAGAUAAAUACCAAUAACUCAAUCUUAAAUUGAAGAAUCCGAUCAUCCAUUUUUAAGACGUCGUUCGAUUUUCACUAUUUAUUUUAUACCCGCUUGAUGAACUUUAUUAUUAUUUCAAAAAAUUAUAAAAUUUAUAUUCUAGAAGUUUCAAAUACUUUAAAUCAUAUUUAACGGAGUGGAUCGUCGAUUCGGAAGCUCCAUCAUUGAAAACAAUUUAUGAGUAUGCCGGGCUCUAUAUUCAUAAGAGUAUAGUAGCCCUAGCCUAUAUAUAUAUAUAUAAUGCAAUUUUUUUCCUAUUUUAACAUAUUAAAAAAUAACAAAAAUCGAAAAUAGGUUCACUCUAUUCUUCAAUUAUUGUACUCAAUUAACAAAACUAGAAGAAAAAAAAAAAGAUCUUCUCAUAUUUUGAAGUCUUAUAAAAUUAUAUGUAGGUGAUGUGAUCAAAAUAGAUGUACAAUUAAAAUGAGGAGAGGGAUUUAUUAUUAUUAUUAUUAUUUUAAAUUAGAAACACUAUAUACAAACUAAUAUAAACCUAAAUCUUAUACCCACCAAUCUAACAUUUUAGACAAUCUUUGUGAAUUUUUAUUAUUAAAAAAAGCUAAAAUAAAGAAAAUUUCAGUAAAUAUCAGUUUUUUUAUUUUUAUUUUCUGACCUUCAAAAAUUUAGAUUUUGUCUCUUUAAAAGUUUAUAAAUAUUCUCAGGAAGUGCGGCAUUAAUGGAGAGAGCAAAAUAACCAAAUUAUCCUUAUUAUUUUGAAGCGUAUUUUUCGUAUAAAUUAUAAGAAAUAGGCUGAACAGUGUUGGAUCUCUGACGGAGGGGAGUUAAUAAAUGCAAUAACUUAAAAUAUUGACAUGGUAAAAUAUAAGUUUUUGAAUAUUAAAUAAAAAAAGUGAAAAAGCAGAUAUAUAUAAAAGAAAAUUUUUUGUAAUUUAGCCUUAAAAUAAAUAAUAAAAGAAAUAUGAAAAUAUUGAUCCUUGUAUGAUAAAAUGAACGAUUUACACCUACUUUUGGAUGUAUAUACACACAGCAUUAAUUAAUGCUUACAAAUAUAAAGUUGAGGGGUGUGUUUCAGAAGUUCCUCUUGUCGAGGGGUUUCCAAGCAUUUUUACGAAAAUGGCACUGUUACGCGUGAUUACAAUGCUUUGCACCCUUGGGAGUUGUGAUACACAUUUCCGGGCCAACUCGUACCCACGCGAGCGACCUACUGCCAUAAAGAUAUGCAUGUGAAUUUGACAUUCUUUGUCCUCGUUAGAAAAGUUCUGCCCUAUGGGCUGUGAAAAUUUUUUAUAUAAAAUAGUAUAAAAAGAUACGAGGAAUUGUUCAUAAUUCUUACAUCUAAUGUACUUUUUUAAUUUUUUAAUAAAUUUUCAUGUAUUACUUGCUUAUAAUGUAUUGUAAGCUACAUAUAAUAGAAAUACCAAGAAAGACCCCCUAUCAGACUUGCAUAUUAUAGAUAAUUAGUCUAUAAAAGAGUAUUAUUAAUAAUAAUAAUUGUCGCUACAAUCAGAUAUAUUUUAGAAGAUGUUUUAUUCUAGCGUCUUCAAUAUUUGGCAUGUGCCGAUAUUAUGAUUAAAUAUCGUCAAUAAACAUUUUUUUUAUCAAAUACUGAUAAAAAUUUUUCGACGCUAUAUUAAGACGUCGAUAUAUUUAUCCCGACAUAUAUAUUUUUACAAGUUUUGAGGUUAUUCUUGCUGACGCUUUAAAGCGUCACUAGUUAUUAUUUAAAGUUGUGCAAGAUUUAUUGUAGUGAAUAUCAAACAGGAUCUACAAUUUUUGACAUACAAUUUUUUUUAUUUGUUUAUAUAUAUGAAUAUUUUAUUUAGUCUAUCUUCUGAAUGACUCCAAUAAUCUAUAAAUUUGAUUGAUAAGAAAUGUGAUCAAAUAUUUAAAACAAAAUAUCAUAUUCGGACUUCAACUCACUUUUUCAAAAGAAGGUAAAUCACUUCAUAGGUCUCAUGGAUAGCACAAAUUUCGAAGAUACAAAAAAUCAAACUUCUUAAUAUCGUAUUGGAAAAUCUUAAUAGAAAAUAAGUUAUUCUUAAAUAACUUAUUUCGACGCCCAAACAUAUUCUGAAUGUCUUAGAACGAAUUCAACAAAUUAAAUUUUAUUUUAAAAUCUCUUUCAUAGUAUUUUAAAAGUAAGUGCACGACAAGAAUUUAAGUGUCGUGACAAGAGAUCGUGCCGAAAACUUAUCAGGAUGGUACAAGCCAUGCAGAUCACAAAAUACAUGUGUACCGACCCAUGUAAAUUUAAAUGUCAUGUUUAUUAAAUCUUUUGAAUUUUUUUUGAGAAAAUUACUUACUAGUUUAAAAAAGAAAAAAAUUUAAAUACCACCCCUAUGGUUUCACGCUGUCUCAUUUUAGUACUCUGUGCUUUAAAAGUAUUACUUUCGUACCCUGUGUAAAUUCGUUAAACCAAAAUGUACUAAAAUAAAUAUUCGAUAAACGAUAUGUAGAGCAUCUGAAAUUUUUUGUAUAUAAUUUAACAGAGGCGUUGAUAAAAAGAAAAAAAAUAAAAUCUUAUGGUACUAAAAUAAUACACUUUAAAUUAUAGGAUAUUAAAAUAAAAAAGUGCAAAACUACAGGAAUGAUAUUUAAAGUUUAUUCUAUAAAAAAUAGAAGGUUUUAAGAUAAGCCAUCGAUACAGAACUGUCUCGUAUCGAUAUCUUAUUGACACGAUACGAAAUGAUAAUAUGGUCCGCACCGAAUUGCUAGUGCCGAAUUCGGGCCAGAAAUUGACCGAUGGGCACUUAAAUCCUUGGUACACAAGAUAUACUUAUAAACCCGGUGCAGGGACGGGGCAAUAAUACAUUGCGAAUUAUUGCCCGAACACGAACAGUAUCUCUCUAAAAUGGAAUUAAAGAGCAGGCGAUCUACUGGGAAUGCGACUGACAAUGAGAUGAUAGAGAGAGAGAAUGGGCGCGAAGGCGAGGUGUUGAAUGGGUCGGAUUCAGAGCGGAUUUUUUUAAAUUCAAAGUCAAAUCAAAAAUUUGAACCUGACGAAUUUUGAAAAUUCGUAUCCAAACCUAACCAAGACAGAACAUCCGAAAUUCGAAUCCGAAAUAAUUAUUUCUUUUCACUAUAUUCGAAACAUAUUAUAUUAGAAUCUAAAUUUAUAAAAUAUGAGUUCAAAUGUAAUAUAAAAUAUUUAUUUUUAUUAUAAAAUGUAAAAUUAAUUUGGAUUUGGCUUUGAAUCGGAUAAAGAACAAAAUCCAUACCCUACUCCAAAUCCGUAUGGUUUUCGUUUUAUACCCAAAAUCGUAUUAAUUUAAGCAUCAGAUAAACCUGACCCACUCGGAUCUGGGUUCAAGUAAAAUUUCGGGUAUUCGCACCAACUGACAUCCCUAGUGCCAACAAGUACACAAUCAACUGUAUCUAGCGCAGUUGACUAAGCACUUGAUAAUUGAUAUUCGAGUUUUCAAGUUCGAAACCUGAUUGCUUUAUAUUUAAAAAUAAAUUAUGAACGAAAUAGAUGGUUUCCUACUUCUCUCAAAGAAAAAAAAAGAAAAAGAAAAAGAAAAAAAAGCCCUGAACUAGGGUUAGCAUUACUCAGCUAAAAUAGAAAUACUAAAUUGAAUCGAUAGAAAUUUGUUGGUUCGAUUCAAUUUUAUUUGGUACCAUCCGGUCUUAAAAAUUAGAAAUUGAAAAAAAAAACUGAAUUAAUCGAAGUUUUAAUAAUUUUAUGCAUAUCACUCUUAAAUUAGUAAAUAUAUAUGUCUUGUAUAAUAAUCAAAUACUUAGAUACAUUAAUUAUUAUUAUUAUUUUUAAUUAAUAAUUUUUAAUAUAAAAAUAAUUAUGAUUAUAUUUAUAUUUUGUAGUUGAAAAAGAUUUAAAAUUUUAAACGAAACAAACAUAUUUUAUUGAAACCAAAUAAUCUGAACCAAAAUGACCGAAUUAUUCUAGUUCGAUCCGAUUCACUUCAAUUUAAAAAAUUUGCGCAAAAUCGAACUGAAUUGACCAAUUCUCACCAUGCUCCAAGUUCUUAUAUAUCCAACAGCAACUCUACAGCAGAAAAGUGGAUUUAAAUUUUACACCCCUCCGUCAAAAGGCUAAUAUGUCGCACCAAUCUUGUCAAUGUUUUUCUAAUAUUACAGAUUCAAAAAAAAUGGUUUAAAUCCUUGGUUUGAGAGAUAUUAAAUUUACACCUAAUUUUGGUUGUACAAAUAGCAUUUCUCUAUAUUCAAAGUACGAGUAGUAUAAAACAACAUUUAUAUUAGAAUUAUUUAACAUUUUGGCGCUUUGUUAAUAGUCGUAUGAACUUUAUAAGUAUUACGUCAUUCAAAUAGUUAAAAUUUUACAACUAGUCAUCUAAAUUUAUAUUUUAUUAGUUUAAAAUUAUUAGUAUUGACCGCCAAAUGAAUAAAAUUUUUCGAUUCCUCGACUAGUGUUAGUUAUUUUAAUUUGAUGGAAUAUAAACUUAAAGGGAUUAAUCGCAACGAGCAAUACUAUCUGCACAUUCCUAAACUAGAUGUAAGAUUAACACUCUGUCCAUCCUAACUUCUAAGUCCCAUAUAUAUUCUUUUCAUUGUCUAGAUCGUAGGCGCUGGCUAACUAUCUCAAAAGCACAUUCUGAUAAGAAGAGUACAUCCAUCGCAUGCCAGGCUCAACCACAGCGCUCACUUGUUUCGAUCUGACUCAAUCAUCUAAACGUUAGGAUUAUUGUCAGGUCUUUUGCCGUUAGGUUUAUUGUAAACCGCAGCCCCAUUCAACUUAUUAAACAAUCCAACUUAUUAGUCUCAUGAAUCUAUUAUCACGGGACAAGAAGUUGCAAUUAUUCUAACCAGGCCACUAACAAAUAGCCAGCAUUUUGUCUUAUUGACUUUUUUAAAAAAAUUAAAACUUAAAAGAAAAUUUUAGAAUUUCAUGAUCGAGAGGGUAUAAAAUUUACACCUUUAUAGGGUUGCAUAUAAAAUGUGUGGAGAUCCUAUCAACUCUAGGCCAUUGUUAAAUUUGAUCAUAUUAUCAAUAUCACAUAAAAAACUUUCAAUUUUUAAAUAAAAAUUAUUUAGUUUCAAAAGGUUGGGAGUUAAGAGAGAAUCUUAAUGAGAGGUUCAAAGUUAAGGGGCAAUUUCAAACUGUUCUAUAGAUGGGGGUUCUCCAUACAUUUUACCGUCGACAAUUUCCUAACACUGAUGCUGCCCUUGCUUCUCGUUGAUGUGCAAGUAGAGUGAUGUUGGCUUGUUGAUAGUGCUAUGUAAAAUCUUAUAUGUUAUUGAUAUAUUGAUAAUUUGUACUACAUUUUAAAAUAUAUGUAUAAACUAAUUAAAAUUUUUCGUACAGUAGAUGUUAAUAUACUAAUAAAUAAUAAUAUAUAAAAAUAAUAUAGGAAAUGUUGGUGGAGAUAUCGCGGGGUGACACAUGGAGUGAUUCGGUUUGUUCGUCAUGAGACGUCCCUCGAUGUGUAGGCUGAAUAUGACUUUGCCGCAGAGCAAAUCAGAGUGGAAACGAUAUGAUCGGGUCCAAACCUCGAGAGUUGAUCUCGAGGUAUCAGCUUCUCAAGUUUUGAGAAUAGUUAUUCGCGAAUUAUCAAAAAUCCGAAUAAAACGGUCCGUAUACGAUUAAUUCUUAAAAAAUCGGAAUAAUACGCGAAUUUUUUGGUUAUAUUUAUUUUUCGUGAAUAAUUCGCGUAUGCCAAACUAUUCGGCUAAAAAAACGCGCAAAUUUUUUUGGAUAAAAUUCUUUUUUGGAUUAUUGUCAAAGUAUUUCCGAAUUAUUCGCCAAUUAUUGAAAAACUUCAUAAACUUUCGAAAUAUGUGGAUCAUGAAAAAGAUGAAGAUGAAAACAACAAUAAAAUUCGCUAUUGUUUUUUUUACUUAAUCUAUUUUAUUUUGUAGCUCUCUUUUUUAUAUGUUUUUAAGAAUUUAUAACUAUACAUGCUAGUAGUAUAAAUCUAGAGAAAAAAAUUAUAGUUUAAUAGUCGAAUUUUUGAUCCCGAAUUAUUAAUUGGUGAACGUAUAAUAUCCGUAUAAAUCGCGUAUCUGAAUAAUUGACGAAUCCGUUUUUUAAACCGUAUUUUUCAACGAAUUUAAAAAUUAAGGUACGAAUUUUAUUCGAAUCAUAUCCGUACCGAAUUUUUAUCGAAUACGAAUGAACUAACUAUGAUUUUGAUCGCUGAUCCCGGCGAAAGUUGAGUCAAACGGGACCGCUCUACAAUAGCAGCACUUAAAGCACCGUUCUGCACACGGCGUAGGCAUGCAGUAUGAAAGGGAAUUCAUUCGGUGCAGAACGCGGUGGUCCGGCGAUGAUUAGAGCGGUCUGGACGGACACUGUAAUGCUGGGCAUUAUGUGAGCGUACGAGAAAAGAUACAUAAUGAUUUUGAUAUAACAUGCGAUCUUUUAUUUAGGGGGCAAUUAUUUAUAUAUUUCUGAAAAAAAUUUUCAAACUGUUUGAUUUAUACCUCUUUGUACGUUAAUGUUGAAAAUAUUUUUCUUACGUUCUAAUCUAUUUCAAAUAUAGCUGAAACGACCCAGCCCACUAGCAAUAAUAACUCGUUGGGCCCAACCACAACCCAAAAUGCUUAAGCCCAGUUAUUAUUACUGGUGUCUAAGUCUCAUAUAAGGCUCUGAUACCAAAUGUAACGACCCAGCCCACUAGCAAUAAUAACUCGUUGGGCCCAACCACAACCCAAAAUGCUUAAGCCCAAUUAUUAUUACCAGUGUCUAAGUCUCAUAUAAACCCAAUGACAACCCCAUUCCCAUCCGAUGUGGGACUAUUGGGGUGUCACAAUAGCCCUAGAGUUAAAUUCUAGCAAUAACUGUUAUCUGUAUAAAAUUAUUAUUUUGCCCUUUUAAGUAUAUUCUUUCGCAAUCACCUACUUUUUUUAUUUGUCCUUAAGUUAGGAGCACAAAAAGUACUUUUUUUAUUUAUCCUUUCACAAUCGCCAAUAUUUUUUAUUUGCCUUCAUGUUAAGGGCAAAAGUGAUAUUUUGAUUUUUUUUUUUUUAACUCAAGUAGAUAUUUAACUCACGUUUAAUCUAAAUUAACUUAACGGGUGAUAACUGUAGGGAUAUUUUAAAAUAACGGAGAAACAUAUGAGAGUAAUAUUGAAAAAAAAUGAAAUUAAUAAGAUAUUUUUGAAAUUUUGAAAGAUAUACAGGUAAAUAUCUACUUGAGUUUCGAAUAGGUCCAUUCCUACAUUUCUCCGUUUUUACCAAAGUAGGGGCACCGAAGCUUCCCGUAAUCUCUCAAGUUUAUGUCCAAGAUCAAACUAGAUAUCAACGCCGCAAAAUCCAAAUUAUUUUUCAUAUAGAUCAAUGCUAUCUGUACACUCACAGAAUAUAUAUAAAUAUUACAUCCCACCCAUCUAAACCCCUAUAUUCAAUCACCAGUCUUGUUAAUUUAUUUAAUACUAAAAGUUUUUUUUAAAAAAAUGUGAACUAAACCAAAAAAUGUACACCUAUAUAUAAAUUAAAAAAAUGCUUAAUUUACGACCAAAAAGAUUGUAAUCUUCCAAACCCUAAUCCAAUAGCUAUUACAAUUUAAGCAACACUUUUUGGUAUUUAGAAAAAAAUGAAAAGAAAAAGGGAAUGAUAAGACUAUCGGACUAAAUUUGGCUAAAAUUACUCACGAGUCACAAAAAAAAUACUUCUUGUACAUCUUAAAAAAGAAAAAAGAAAAAAGAAGAAUAGAUCUUAUAAUUUUUAUUUUAGAAUUAAUAAAAAAAUUUAAAUAAUUUUUAAUUAAAAAAAUAAUUAAUAUGAUAAGUAAAAUAUUAAUGAUCUUGAGAUAAAGCAGGUUUAAAAUAUAUAAUUUAUUUUGGUCUGUAUCUGUAACAUUACUCAUAUAAAUAACGUUUUCCUCUCGUACAAAUUGCUGACACGUCACUGUUUCGGGAGUUAUAUCAUACUGUGGGGGUGCUGUACGAUGAGAAAUGUUUUGGGUACCGUACCAUUGGCUUAGCCCAUUAUUUUAUUAAUAUAUUAGUACAUAUAUUGGUAGCUUAGAAUUUUGGAUUUAGGAUAUAACUAGCAAUGUACCCGUGCUUUGUCGGAUGCGAUUUUUAAGUUCACAAAGUCAUUUAAAAGAGUCAAAUGAAAAUAUUAAUUUAUACAUAUAUAUCUUAUUCGGAAAGAGAGAAGAGAAUAUUAAAUAAAAACUAAAGUCAGAGAGAGAGAGAGAGAGAGCACUUUCAAACUUUUAAAUACGGUAUAUUUUACUCAUAAUAUAGCAAAUUAAAAAUUUUAAAAAUAUAUAAUUAUUAAAUUCAAAUUUAAAAUUAUUUUAAAUAUUCAUAUUUUUUUGUUUGAAGAAAGAAAAAAAAAGAGCAUUAAAUUAAAAAUUAAACUAAGGGAGAGAGAAAAGCAGCAUGCAUAUUUGUUAGUGAGAGGAAAAGGAAAAAAAAAAUGUAUGGAUAUUAAAUUAAAUAAAAAUUAAGUAAGAGAGAAAGUACAAUAGGGAUUUAAAGUUUAAAUUUUUGAAGUUGAAAAUUUGGGAAUAAAUAUUUUAAAUUUUAAAAUUAUAAAAUUUGAAAUUUAGAACUUAAAAUUUUGAUAUCCAAAAUUUAAAAUUUUAUAAUAUAAAAUUUUCAAACUCUCUCUCUUUCUCUAUAGGGAGAGAGAGGAGAGAAGGGUGGUUUAUGAUGCACCAGAUACACCGAAAAUUGUCAGGGACACGAGGCAGCAAAGUAACAUUAGUCCACGAACUUUAGUAUAUAGUAAUUAGUCAACGGACUUUUGUAUAUAGUAAUAGUGAUAGUAAUAGAUGACGAAGAUUAGGAUUUAACAAUGGUGAGUUGAUGGCGAUUUGAUCGUUUGCUCGCUAUUUAUAUAGUAACUCCAAGAGUUUCAGGCACAGUAUUUCGGACGCCUGAAAGUUUCCGGACUAAGCUACGUGAAUCCGAUCUUCUCACCGAACGCUAGCAGGAGUGAUUUGGCAGAGUCACGACGGAUUCGGAUGCUAAAAGUGGUUUCAGGUACACAAAAUGUAGCAUUUUGGCUAAGUGCGAGGGUGGCCAGCUAGUGGUGUUGUUUGUGAUUGAGUAAAAUAGUAUAUAUAUAGAACUAGGCUAAUAUACUAUUAAUAGCACCAAGUUAUUGGUGCUACCAACGUUUUGGCCAUUGGAUUAAGAGAUGUGCAGUUAGGAUAAUGUGGGCCCUCUAGGGUUGAGUGGGUGGUUGGUUGAAUAGUAUGAUCUAACGGGUGAAAAUGAUCAAAAGGGUAUAUCUAACGGUGGAAAGCUUGAUAGCACCAAGUGCUUCGUGCUAUUAAUAGCAUAGUAGUUGCACUCAUAUAUAUAUAUAUAUAUAUAUAUAGUUGAGCUAGGAUACUUUUACAUGUAUCACCCCCAUGGUGCUAUUAGGUUUUUAGCCAUUGGAUCUACUUCUUGAUUACUAAUAGUCCUUGGAUCAAAUACUAUUCCACCUACCAUCACCUACCACCACCUACUAAUAGUCCUUGGAUCAAUAGUCCUUGGAUCAAAUACUAUUCCACCUACCAUCACCUACCACCACCUACCAUCAUCAUCUCAACCUCACAUCUCUCUAUCCAAGGGCUAAAAACACUAUAGCACCAUGGGGUGAUACUGUAAAAGUAUUCUUAGCUCGCACUGAUAUAUUAAUAUAUUGUAUUAGUAUAGUAUAGUAUAGUAUAAUAUACUAUAUAUAUAUAAGUGAGCUUAGAAAUACUAAUCCGAUAGCAAAACGGGCUCCGUUUGUCAUCCAUUCUUGUUUUUCGAUGAUGGACGCCUUACGAAUCGACGAUCGCACCGUUGAAUAUGAUCUAUACCACUUGAAGUGUUUAGAAAUCAAAUUUUAUACAUUUUCGAUAUUAUUCUCUUAUCCAUCGAGUGGACACAAAAAUAAACGGCUGAAAAUAAAUAUUCUUUAAAAAAUAAAAAUAGGAGUCUUGUAAUCAAGAUCAAGAGUAUAGAUCUCGUUUAAAUAGUUUAAAGAAUUUUCUAACAAAAAUUAAAUUAAUUUGGAUAUCUUUACGCCGUUAAACGAGAAAAUGUCUCAUAUCGACCUUUAAAAUUACAAAUUUUAAAACCCUUUGAUCAUUAGGCAAAUGAUUUCGAAAAGAUUUGAAAUUUGAUUUCUAAACACUUCAAGUGGUAUAGAUCAUGUUUAACGGUGCCGAUCGUCGAUUUGGAGGCUAUAUCAUAAAAAACAAAUGGGUGGCAAUGGAGCCCGUUUGCUAUCAAUAGUAUUCUAGCUCAACUAUAUAUAUAUAUAUAUAUAUAUAUAUAUAUAAGAGUUAUAUAUGAGUUGAGCUAGAAUACUAUCGGUGACAAACGGGCUCCAUUGCCACCCAUUUAUUUUCGAUGAUGGAGCCUUCGAAUCGACGAUCGGCACCGUUGAAUAUGAUCUAUACCAAUUGAAGUGUUUAGAAAUCAAAUUUCAUACAUUUUCGAUAUUAUUCUCUUAUCCAUCGAGUGGACACAAAAAUAAACGGCUGAAAAUAAAUAUUUUUUAAAAAAUGAUGAUAGGAGUUUUGUAGUCAAGAUUAAGAGUAUAGAUCUUGUUUUAAAUAGUUUAAAAAAUUUUCUAACAAAAAUUCAAUUGAUUUGGAUAUCUUUACGGCGUUAAACGAUAAAACACCUCAUAUCGACCAUUAAAAUUACAAAUUUUGAAACCUUUUGAUCAUUAGGCAAAUGAUGUCGAAAAGAUUUGAAAUUUGAUUUCUAAACGCUUCAAAUGGUAUAAAUCAUCUUCAACGGUGCCGAUCGUCGAUUUGGAGGCUCUAUCAUCGAAAACAAAUGGAUGGCAACAGAGCCCGUUUCCUAUCGAUAGUAUUCUACCUCAACUCUAUAUAUAUAUAGUACGUAUUAUAUAUAGUUAUAUAUAUAUAUAUAAUUUAACAUUAUAUAUAAUAUAAUAUUUAUUGAUAUAUAUAAAGGUGGCAAUCAACUUGCUCGUGCGCGAGCCAGCUCGUGUUGGCUCGAAAUGAGCUCAAAUCAACUUGCCCGUUUAGUAAACGGACCGAACACAAGCUGGUAGUCAGAUCACUCUGUGUCGGCUCGAUAAAAGCAAACAUCAUAUCUUUUAUAUUUAUAUAUUUAUUUAAUUUAUAUUUAUAUAUAUAAAUAGAUAAUUAUAUAUAAAUGUAUAUAUUUUUAUUAUUUGAUUUUUAGCAAAAAAAAAAAAAUCAAACGACGCUUAUUAUGAAAAAAACUCAUUAUAUAUAAAAAUUCAACCAUUAGAUCAAAGUUAAUAAUAUAAGAUUUUAUAAAUUUAUUUUUAUAUAUAUUCAAUCUAAUCUACUUAACUUAUAUUCAUGGGCAGCUCCUGAGUCAGCUUGUAUUCAGCUCGUUUAAUAACGAGGCGAAUACGAACUGAAUUUUUACUUAGAUAUUUAAUAAGGCUUAGUUCGGUAUUGAGAUCUAUCUAAAGUUAAAUUAGAUAAAAUAGAGUGAGAAAAAAAUAUUAUAGGAUAUGCCUUCAUGGGACCGUAGAAAAUAUAUUGUAACCGACUAUCACGAUAUGCGUAACUAAUAAAUUACAUACGAAAAUAAACAUUAUUUUUUAGCGUCGUUUUCACACGUACGUAACGCAAAUUUUUUGCAAUCCCAAACGAAGCCUAAGACAUAUUAAACGAGCCAACAACGCGAACAAUCCUAGUGUACAUCAUAUAUAAUAUAUAUAUAUAUGAGUUGGACUGGCUACUUAUUAAUAGCAAAAUCUCAUUGUUGCUACCAGUUUUUUAGCCUUUGGGAUCAACUCUUUUCAUUAUUUCUAAAACCAUUGGAUUAAAUACUAUAACCCAGUUGGGACCACUCAACCCAGUAGGCGGACCACUCAACUCUAACCGGACUAAUAUCCAUCCGACCUAUAAUUUUUCAUCCAAAGAUUAAAAAUUUAAUAGCAAAAGAGCAUUUUACUAUUAAUAGUAUUCCAGCCUAUAAUUAUAUAUAUAUAUAUAUAUACACUUGUUUACCAAUUAAGAUGUCGUUUUGUAUAUACAUGGGUUAGUGACGCAAUGUGCCGACCAAUCGGAGCAGCGCACGUGUCUUCUUUAUGACCUUGAGAUUUUUGAUACAUAGAAUGGUUGAUGGGAUCAAACUGAUGCGUGAGUGGGAUGGGAUACGCGUUGUACGAAUCAUCAACCGUACGUAUGGAGGAGAAUGGAGGUGUGGGCCCCCCAAUUUGUACGGCUGAGAUUGGGCCGUGAUGUUAUCCUGUGUAAGAUAAGAUGCCAACAGUGGAGUGUUCGCAAUCAGUAGUACAUCAACUUCACCCUUUUCCUUUUUUCUUUUCUUUUUUUUUUUAAGAAACAAUUUUAAAUAUCAUCUCUGUGAUUUCACAAUUUCUAACUUUAAUGCCCUGUGGUUUAAAGUGUAUCACUUUUAUAUAAAUUAAUUUUAGAAAGUUGGUGUAAAAAAAGAUUUUUUUUUCAGAAAAUGAGUGAAAAAUAAAAACUUAUCUCAACAAGAUGGUAAUAUAUAAGCUCCGUGAAUAAAAAGUUUACGUUGGUGAGAAUUAAAUCAAAUAGCUCUGGACCGCUCUAUUUACUUUUAUCAAACUCUCUCUCCAUAUAUACGAUAUAAAAUAUAUUAUAUAUUACGUUAUUUAUAUAUAAAUGUAAAAAAAUAUUAUAUUAUUUUAAAGAAACAUAUAUAAAAAAGAUGAUUAUAUAUGUUAUAUAAUAGAAGAAAAUGGAUCAGAAAAUUGUUUCUUUAUCUCCUAAAAACCAGACAGCAUGACAUGUCAAAAGUAGUUCUCCAAUGAGAACCUUUUUCGAAUGAAAAUCUUUAUUAGUUAAUUCGUGAAUUAUUUACGAAUUAUUAAAAAUUCAAGUUAAACGACCGUUUAUGAAUUUUUUCUAAAGAAAAUAAAUUAUUCGCGAAUUUUUGGAUCAGCCGAAUAAUUCGCGAAUUAUUCACAAAUUAUUAAAAAUCUGAAUAAAAAAUUUAUAAUUUUUAUAUUUAAAUAUAGAUUAUCUUAUAUUUUAUAUUUUAUAUCGAAUUAUUUUUUAAGUCAAAAUUUUCAAUAAAUUUAAAAAUUAGAAAACGAAUUUUAUUCAUAUUAUACCCGCACUAAAUUUUUGCCGAAUCCGAAUUAACUAACUAUGAUGAAAACUAAUUUCAUUUCUUUAUGUGGAACCAAAUAUACUCUUAAUUUAAGUGGAUAUAUAUUUUUUUAAUGAAAAAUGCUUUGGGUCCUUCACUAUGUAUUUUUCUCAAGAUUUUAUUUUAUGUUGACACUAUAAUAAUGAAGAAUUGUGAUUAAAUUAUGCACACAGAUCGAAAUGCCAUAUAAGUUUUGAGGAUCAAAAUGGCAACCUAAGAGGGAGGGUGAAUUAGCUUUCUAAAAUAAAAAGCUAAAUAAUCAAGCAAUUUAAAAAUCCGAAACAAAUAAUAGAGGAGGAGUUUAGAGAAAUGCAAAUUCAAAGAGAAACACAAUCGAUUUGUUUCGAGAUUUGGCACUUCGCCUACGUCGCCGCCAACUCCUCAACACAAGAGAACGUUGGAUCUCCACUAGAUGAUACUUUUGCGGGCAAGCACCAAGCCUUCACACCAACACCUUCUUUUUUUCAAGCUCCAAAACUUUACUUCUCUGUUUUUACAAGAUUUAAUCUCACUACAAAUUACACUCAAGUUUAGAGAGAGAAUGAAGAGCUAAGAAUAUUAGAAAUACUGAAAUUUUAAAGCUCAAAUCAACUUUCUAAAAAUGAGGCUAAGAAAGGUCUCAAAACCAUCUAUUUAUAACCUUUGUCAACUUUAGACCGUUGCACUUUCGGGCGCCUUAAACCUGAUUUCGGGCGCCCAGAAGUUGUGCACGCGCACUGCCCUUCCAGCUGCCUGUCAGACAUCGUGCAUCGCUUUUUUGGAUUUGUACAAUCGGGCCUUCAGAAAUUGUGGGCGCCCAGAACAUGUGCGCUGACUUUUCUGACAGACAGACCACGUGCGCCGCUUUUCUUUGAGCGAAAUCAUUUUGGGCUUCCAGAAGAUGUGGGCUCCCAGAUUUCCAGCACGCGCGCCACCUGCGCCGUGCCGCGUCAGAACUUUUCGAGCUGGUUUGUCGUACUAUCCGGAACACGCAACUUGUCAAGUCAAACAAUCCGGUUGCCCUAAACAGACUUCGGGCGCCCAGAUCAGGUAAAAAAAUUUCUAGACCACCCGAACAGCAAACAGCAGGAUCCAAAAAAAAGACACAUAAGUUUCGGAUCCACUUUAGGGCGCCCAGAUCAGAGUUCAGAAACAGUAACUUGACAGAAAACUGAUUUUGAUCAGAUUUUGAAUAUUUUAAAAUUCUAUGCACCUUAUCACAAAAUAGAGAUAGAUCAAGUGAACUAUAAAGUGAUAAGAAGAAUAGAUUAAACUUAACUCAAAAAUUCUCACUCUAAUGAUGUUAAUCAAAUUAAGAGUAGAGAGAGUGAGUUUGUCUAUUUGACAAAGAAAGCAAGCAUAACUUCAAGUGGUGAAGCUUGGUGCUAGACGAUUGCCCAUCUUGAGCCCUUUUGAAGAUAGAGAGAUCUAAAACACAAACCUUAAGAUAAAAGAUUAGUCCAAUAAUCGUAAUUAUUUGUUAUCAUCAAAAUCUAAUAAAAGAUUAGGGCCACUAGGCAAACAAGUUUGUCAAUACAUCAACAACAAAUAAGACAACAUUUCAAAGUGUCUAUAGCAAAACUGUUUUUAUAAUCAAGAAGUCGUAGACUAAAUCAUUAGAAAGCGAAAAUUAGUUUUAAAGAUAAAACUGAUCUUUCACUUUUAUAUUAUUUUUGAUGAUGCGAUAUCCGACAAUCGAUAGCGAUUGAUACUAUGGAACAUAAUCUAUGAGCUUUGAACUUUCAAAUUUCAAAUGUUGUUAUUAUUUUUGCAUCCUUUAAUAUAGUAUUCAAAUAGCUUUAAGAAUGACAAUUUUUAAAUAUAAAUAUAAGGUGUACUAAGUAAAUGAUGACCUAAAUUGUGAAAUUUGAUCACUUCUAAAAAAUUCAAAUACUAUAGAUCAUGCUAAGAAUGUUAAUCGUUGAUUCUGAAUAUCCUGUCACUAAAAAUAGCAUAGAAGUAAAAUAAAAAAAUAAAAAAUAAAAAAAAAUUCCAGAGGUAUUCUAGCUCUACUCGUAUUGACAAAUAUAGUAUGAAAAUAUAAAUACAAUUUUGAUAAGGAAAAGUUAAAUUUAAUGAAUUUUAUCAAAUUUGCAGUGAGCAAAUUUAGACCACGUUUCAACGCAGAACAAAUUAUUCACGUGACAAGAUUUUUUAUUUGUGAUUUUAAGUUACUAGUUUGAGUACCUUAUAAAAUUUUAAUAUUCAUGAUUUGGAGUUGAGUUAAAAUACUAUUAAUAGUAUUUGCUCUCUUUUGCUAUCAAGCUUUUAGUUUAUGGAUCUUUUUUUUUUAUCAUUUCUAACUAUUGGAUUAAAUAUUAUAACCCAGUGAGGACCACUCAACCCUAAGGGAUUCAGAUCAUUCUAAUUCUAUAAUUUCUCAUCUAAAAGUUAAAAAUUUGAUAGCAAAAAAAUCCAAAUAAUAUCAAUGGUAUUUCAGCCCAACUCUUAUGAUUUGAUGGUUUAAUGUAUUGUCACAAUCUACUUCCCGAUGGUCACCCCCAUUUCCGAGCACACAGCUCGGUUAAUUAGGUAUUCUAGAUUCAAUGCCUUGUUGAGCCUAAUCUACUGUCUCGAAAUGCUAUAGUCCAAUUAUUAAGUAGCGUAUCCAACCUUACAUAUAUAUCUUUGCACAUCCAAUGUGGGAGUAAAUCUGGGGUGUUAAUGUAACGCCCCCAAUAGUCCCACAUCGGGUGGGAUACUGAUUCCGAUCAGUUUAUAUGAGGCCUACACGCUAGUAAUAAUAACUGGGCUUAAGCAUUUUGGGCCGGUGGUUUGGACCCAACGAGUUAUUGUUGCUGGCGGGUCGGGUCGUUGCAAUUGGUAUCAGAGCCGAAUACCAGCCAAAAGUGUGAGAACUAAGUGCUAUGCAGGACAAAGUACCACACCAACGGAUUUGGUGGGAGCCACCUCUUGAACUCGUAGGAGCCACCUCUAGAAUCUCACAUCGCCUAGUAAUGGUCCUGGUGGUUUGGUGGGAGCCACCUCUUGAACUCGUAGGAGCCACCUCUAGAAUCUCACAUCGCCUAGUAAUGGUCCUGGUCUGUCUAUAUGUGAUCUGGUUUGAACCCGACGAGGACGUUAGGGUCUAAACAGGGGGACCCAAUAGUCCCACAUCGGGUGGGAUACUGAUUCCGAUCAGUUUAUAUGAGGCCUACACGCUAGUAAUAAUAAUUGGGCUUAAGCAUUUUGGGCCGGUGGUUUGGACCCAACGAGUUAUUGUUGCUGGCGGGUCGGGUCGUUGCAAUUGAUAUCAGAGCCGAAUACCAGCCAAAAGUGUGAGAACUAAGUGCUAUGCGGGACAAAGUGCCAUACCAACGGGUUUGGUGGGAGCCACCUCUUGAACCCGUAGGAGCCACCUCUAGAAUCUCACAUCGCCUAGUAAUGGUCCUGGUCUGUCUGUAUGUGAUCUGGUUUGAACCCGACGAGGACGUCAGGGUCUAAACAGGGGGACCCCAAUAGUCCCACAUCGGGUGGGAUACUGAUUCCGAUCAGUUUAUAUGAGGCCUACACGCUAGUAAUAAUUACUGGGCUUAAGCAUUUUGGGCCGGUGGUUUGGGCUCAACGAGUUAUUGUUGUUGGCCGGUCGGGUCGUUGCAGUUAAGACCCCAAGAUCCCAUGCGAUGUGAAACCUUGUCUCAAACUUUCUCCUCUUCUCGAACCUCCGACUAGCCAACCUGCUCUGACACUAAAUUGUCACAUCCCGCUUUUUAGUAGGCCCCUAUUCGUGAGCCCACGACUUGUUUAACUGAAUAUAUUAGACCUGAUAACCUGUUGAGCCAAAUCCAUUGGAUCAAGAUGCUUAAACCCAAUUAUCAGUAUUAAAUCCCAUGAUCCUUAUAUCUCUAAUCGUGUUCCUUUUUCUAGCCAAAGUUGGACUAUUGGGACAUUACAAACUCAUUCUAUUGAAACUUUGACAUCUUCGCCAGGUUCAUACCCAAUCACACAUAUAAAUUAGAAUUAUCAGGUGAUGUGAAAUUCUAAAACUAACUCUUGAGGGUUUAAAAGAUGGCUUCCACUAAACCCGUAGUAUAGUAUUUUGUCCCACGAAGUACUAAGUUCUCAAACUUUUGGCUGGAUAACCGGCCCCGCUAACCUUACAUAUCCAUGCACAUCCGAUGUGACACUAAAUUUAGAGUGUCAAGAGCGCAAGAUUGCCAGACAAUAUGAGAUAAACUUGUUUGAUUAAUUGGGUAUUCUAAACCUAGCAACCUAUAAAACCAUAUCCACCGGUGCAAAAUGCUUAAAUCCGAUUAUCAAUAUUAGAGUCCUGAAUUCUUAAAUUUUUAAUUAUAUUUUUUUUUCCAUCCAAUAUGGGACUAUUGGGACGCUACAAUAUUUUCACCUAAUGUUGAUUUAGGAUAUUUUGGAAAAAAUGGCUUGGAGCCUCAUCAGACAUUCGGGUAGGAGUAAGCAACGUUCAGUUUGGUUUGAAUUUAGUGUUUUUUUUAAAAAAAAUUUAUUUUUUCUGUUUUGGCAAAACCCAACCGAAUCAAACAAAACAAAUGGAUUUAGGAACUAAAGCCAAGAAGAACCAAACUGAAAUUAAUUUGAUUAGUUCGGUUUGAUUUAUUCUGUAUGAAUAUACUCUUUUAAAUUAAAAUAUAUUAGACUACCGAAAAAUUCUAAUCCGAAGAUAGAAAUGGUUGAGGUUUCUAAUUAUUUGGUUACAAAAAAUGUAUCAAAUUAGUAAAAUUGGUUAACUCUUUUAAAUUUUUUUAGAUUUGGGAUUUUUUUAUCAGAACCAAGCUAAGAAUAUAUAAAAAACCGAACCAAACGGGCCAAAAUGUGCCGGCUCAAUUUGAUAAUUUAGUUUAUAUGCAGAAAACGACUAAUUUUAUCAUACUCCGCAUCUACCAAAGAUUAGAGCUUUUAAAUUUUAUAUAUAUAUAUAUAUAUAUAUAUAUAUAUAUAUAUAUAUAUAUAUAUAUAUAUAUAUAUAUAUAUAGUUCGGCUGGGAUAUUAUCGAUAACACCAAGUAUUUGGUGCUAUCAAGUUUUCCGCCGUUGUCACCCAUUUGUUUUCGAUGAUGGAGCCUCUAAAUCGACGAUCGGCACCGUUGAAUAUAAUCUAUACUACUUGAAGCAUCUAAAAACCAAAUUUCAUGCCUUUCCGAUAUUUGUUCUCUUGUCCAUCAAGUGGACACAAAAUAAAUGGCUAAAUCUUGGUGCUAUCAAGUUUUCCGCCAUUGCCAUCCAUUUGUUUUCGAUGAUGGAGCCUCUAAAUUGACAAUCGGCACCGUUGAACAUAAUCUAUACUACUUGAAACAUCUAGAAAUCAAAUUUCAUGCCUUUUGGAUAUUGUUCUCUUGUCCAUCAAGCGGACACAAAAUGAAUGGCUAAAUAUGAAUAUUCUUUAAAAAGUGAUGAUAGGAAUAUUCUAAUCAAGAUCAAGAGUAUAGAUCUUGUUCUAAAUAAAUUUUAUGAUUUUUCAAUAUCAUUUGCCUAGUGAUCGAAGGGGCUCAAAAUCAAAUAAUUUUAAUGGCCGUAGUGAGCCGUUUGCAAAUUUAACGGUGUAGAAAUAUCCAAAUCACGUGAAAUUUUGAUAGAAAAUUCUUUAUACUAUAUAAAAUAAGAUCAAUAUCUUUGAUCUAAAAUUUUAAUGUCAUAUUAUCAUAUUUUGUAAGAUUUUUAUUUUUAGCCGUUGAUUUUGAGCCCCUUCGUUCAUUAGGCAAAUGAUAUCGAAAAAUUACAAAAUUUAUUUUCUAGGUACUUCAAAUACUCUAGAUCAAGUUUAANACUGCUGUUGCCGCCUGGAGUGUUCGCAGAAAUGGCGGCCGCAGGGGCAGCGGGUGUGGAAGGCAUGUCGACGGCUGCUGGGAAAGAGGCGGAGUCCACGUCGCGGCUGGGCUCGUCGUUCCGGCGGAUGGUCGGUCGGGAUUGGUCGUGUAGGCAGUCCGCGCAGCCGGAGGCGGCAGGAGUAGAAGAUGCUGAGAGGCAGUAAUUAUUGCCAGAAAUUCCACAUGUAAAACUAGUUCUACAGUACAUGAAUUAUUCAAAACAUAAUCAAGAUUUUUGAUUGGAUAGAAACGAGAAUUGCGGCUCUACUAUUUUAAAGUAUAUAUGUAGUGUUUGUUGUGUUUUGUAGUGGAUAUGUAACAAGCAAAAUUUACGGUAGUACUACCUCAAAGUGUCUAUAUAUAUAUAUAUAUAUAUAUAUAUAUACUAGUAAAAUAUACGUGCAAAUGCACGUAACAAUUAUUAUAAUUUAUUUUAAAUCAAUAUAAAUUUGUAUAUUAUAUAUAUCCAAAAUUUUACAAUAAAAAUUAUAUAUAUAAAUUAAUAUUUUAUAGUUUCUUAGAAAAAAUUUACAAUAUCCUACAGUGUUUUUUUUUUUAUAUACAUCGAACAUUUUUAUAUACUUUUUAAUUUUUGAUGAAGCAAAUUUAAAUAUAUAUUUUAAACUAAAAGCAUCAAAAUUUAAUUCACAUUUACUUUAAAAUUUAAAAUUUAAUUUUGAUCCAUUGUAAUAAAAAAAAUUAAUUGUUAAUUAAUUCAAAUUUGAUAUUAAAAAUUAAAUUUAAUUCAUAAUUUAAACUCAAAUUUUAAUUUUAAUGUAAAAUAGGUGAAUAAGAAUACUAUUUUUUAACAAAUUGAUCAUAACCGUUUGUUUUUAUUUGAGAUAUUUUUUAACAAAUUGAUUUGUAAUCGUUCGUAUGAUUGAAUUUAUAGAUUGAUAUGAAUGCUAUUUUUUAAUAGAUUGUUCAUAACUGUUUUUAUUUGAGAUAUUUUUUUAACAAAUUGAUCAAAACCAUUUGUACGGAAUAGAUUUUUAUAUAUAGAAGAGAUUUAAUAGAUUAAUCAUAACCGUUCGUUUUUAUUUGAAAUAUUUUUAACAAAUUAAUCAUAACUAUUUGUAGGGAAUAUUAUUUUAUUUCUUUUUGGAUAUAGUAGAGACUUAAUAGAUUGAUCAUAACCGUUCAUUGUUAUUUGAGAUAUUUUUAACAAAUUAAUCAUGACCAUUCGUAGGAAAUAUUAUUUUAUUCUUUUCGGAUUCUGUCUGUCAUUGUCGGAAUUCUUAUAUGCUUUUAUAUAUAGUAUAGAUAUAGAUAUAUAUAGAGCUAGGUUGGUAUAUUAUCGGUAGCACGGAUACCUUCGUGCUACCAAGUUGUUUUCAAUUAUGCGGAUUCCAAAUUGACGAUCGGCUCCAUUUAACUUGAUCUACAGUAUUAAAAGUAUUUGGAAACUAAAUGUCAUAAUUUUUCGAUAUCAUUUGGCUAGUGAUCAAAAGGUAUCAAAAUUGACAAUUUUAAUGGUAAAUGUGAUGCGUUUGUGAAUUUAACAGUGUAAAAUAAUCAAAUCUGAUGCAAAUUUUAUAGAAAAUUCUUUUCACUAUUUAGAGUAAGAUCAGUAUUUCUGAUUUUAAAUUUAAGUCUUUUAUCAUCAUUUUUUAUGAGAUUUUUAUUUUCAGCCGUUUAUUUUUAGACUACUUGUUUGAUAGGUAAAUGAUACCGAAAAAUUAUGAAAUUUAGUUUUCAAAUCAAUAGUGUAGAUCAAGUCUAACGGAGUCGAUCGUCGACUUGAAAAUCGUAUCAUUAAAAACAAAUUGGUAGUACGGAGAUCUCCGUGCUACCGAUAGUAUACCAGCCAACUCUAUAUAUAUAUAUACUGAAUAAAAUAUUUAUACAUACCGGCAUGACAAAAUUUAUUAAUACUAUUAUUCAUACUUAUU